Molecule: long non-coding RNA, 55863 nt
Filed under: Ananas comosus (pineapple)
Lineage: Eukaryota; Viridiplantae; Streptophyta; Magnoliopsida; Poales; Bromeliaceae
Description: long non-coding RNA (ACOM_LNC008218)
Source: RNAcentral
AUCAAUACUUUGAGGCACCGCGGAGAUGUCUACGUCAUCAAACGACACCACUUGCUCUCCCUCGAUAUUUAGUGGGCGAGAUACACCACCAGUAUAUUGAGCAACAAAUUCGUUAUUUGUCAUAUCGGUAAACUGAUUGAUACCGAGAGUGUACGAAUUUCCGUUGCGAUUGUUAAAGUUUUCGAUAUGGUUCACGUUGUUCUUGAAAAUCUGAAACCGGAGCAUCUUCUCGUCGUUGUCCUUGUAAACUCGGCCGUACUCCGCCACCCAUUUUUCAAACCGCUUCAUCAUGGGAUCACUUGGUUCGUCACAAGAAGCUGCCGACGGCAAUGCCCGCAUCACACAGAGAAACAAGAAAAGAAACACGAGUUGAACUUUGGAAGCCAUGCUUAUGUAGCACUAAAUAUCUACUAUAUGUAUGACGAAAUUAGAGAUCGAGCUAAAAGAGCUUUUGUUGCUGAGAAUAUGGUCUCAAGAUCGAGUUUAUAUAGAAGUUCAAGCCUUCGAAUGUACGGGGGAGAAUUAAUGGGUGGGGUCCCGAAUUAAGUUACAUGUACUAUAUGAUUUAACUCCGCCAUCCAUUCUUUAUAUGAUUUAACUCCAACCAAGUUACAUCUACUCGCAUGCUUCAAUACCCAAAUAGGUCCUAAUUAAGUUACAAGACAAUCCAAAAUAAGGAAAGCCCAAGUUCUAAGUUGGCACUAAAGUUAAUUUACUGAGUAAAAUUCAAUUUACCCACACCACCACCCCCUGUAAUUUAGUGGAGUUUUACUUUGUUCUUAUGUAGUUUAAAAUAGAAGAAUUUCUUUUGACAAAAUCUACGAGAUGUAGACCCAAUGUGUGUACGUGUGCAAACGUUAUUUUGUCUCUUAUCAAUUCUUAGUAAGGUCGCAAUGGAGAGGGGGACAACUUUUAGGGGCCGUUUGGUUGGAUGUAGUUACAAAAAUGGUGUAGUUUGAAGUACAUGCAAUUGUAAAUGUUCCAGUUUUAACUACACCUAGUCUGUUUGAUUUUAUGCAGUUGCAACUGUUAUAGUUAUAUUUCUUCUGUUUGGUAGUGUGCAGUUGAGAUUUAAAUUUAUAAAUUCUAUCAAAUUUUAGAUAGAAAUGUGAGAUUAUCUCUUUUGAGCAUAACGUAAUCAUAUUUUAAAUAUUAAUUAAAACUUUUAUAUCUAUAUAUAAUUUAUAAAUUAUAAAAUUGUAUAUGAAUUUAAUAAAUAUUAAAUGUAAAUAUAUUAUAAAUUUGUUCAAAAUAAAAAUUAAGAUAUUAUUAAACUAACAAACUGAAAAAUAAGAAGCGCAUGAAAAAAAAUUUAUUUUACCCUAACAGAUAUUACUAAAUCAUAUCAGAUUUCAUGAAUAUGUAUUUUUGAAAAAAAAUAAAAAAAGAAGUGUAUGAAAAAAAAUCACAUUUUGUUUAUUUUUUUAAUAGGUGAGUUGACUCUGGCUCAACCGCUGUAGUUGGUACUACAGCCAAUUUGGCUGCAUUACCAACUGUUAUAGUUGGGCCUUCUCAUGCAGAUCAACUACAGUAGUUGAGUCUAACUACACCAAACCAAACAAAAAAUUAAUAGAUGCAUGUAUUUUCAACUGCAAUGCAAUUGAAAAUACAUGCAACCAAACAGCCAAGUUCGAGCUAAGUUUAUUUUUAAAUGAAAUAAACGGAGCAAUACCCAUCUCUUAAAAAAAAGAAUUUUUUUUGGCAAAACCUGCGAGAUGUAGACCCAAUUGCCCAACGAGAAUAGGACUGAUAAAGACUUGCAUGAAUGAAAAAAGUUAUAUUUAAAUUUGAAAAGUACUAUUGUCCAGAAUAUUUUUUUUUAUAAAAAAAAAUAGCACACUAUCCGCUUCAUUUACUAAGGAAUUGAAUUAGACUGUAAUGAUGAAGCAACCGAGGCCUCGAGAGAGAUAGGGAAAAAAAAAAAAAUCUAAUGUUCAGAAUAGUUAUUUAGCAUUAUGAAAGAUUUUUUUAAAAAAAAUUUAUGAAUGCCACGCUUAUGUAUUAAUUAAAAUAUCACAAUGCCCUCAUAAAUUAAUAAUAUCAUUCAUGCUCUUUUAAAUGGUCAUAAAUAUUAUAGUAAAUAGCUCCCGUGAUUAGUCUCUAUCGAAAAAUCUUGUCAUUAAUUGUUAUAAAAUAUUUAUUUUUUCACCAUUAGUAUAAUAACCCGUGCGAUGUUAUAAAUAAAUAGUGCAAUGAGAGAGAGAUGAGCGUGGUGGUGGAAGAUUAGAUGAUAAUGUUGCAUGAAAAAUAAUAGGUCAUGCAAAAGAGAGAGGGCGGAGGGAUUAAUGAAGGAGGGGAGUUGAUUGCAAUUACAAAAUACACUCAUUAUUGGAGGAGUUAUAAAGCCCAUUGAUUAGUAGGGGGCGGGAUUAAUGUAGGCCUAGAGGGGAGUGAACUGGAAUUAUAAAGCCCACUCAUUAGUAGAAUAUAAUGUAUGUAAUUAAAUAUUACAUAAUAAAUUAAUUAAUUAAUUUAAUCUCGAGUGAGUGCUAGAAAAAUCACCAUUGGAAGAGAAAAAGCCAAGAAAAAGACAAUGAAGAAGGUAGCGCCAUGUUGGAUAAGAAAUCGAGGUUUAAUAUAGAGUUAUAGAAGAUUAUAGAUUAUAGAUAAUAUGACAUAAUUAUUGUUCUUUAAAAACUGAAAAAUGAUACGGAGCAUGAGGUACUAAGUUUAAAUCUUAUCAAUCUAGUUUCAUUUAAUUUCUUUUCAUCUAACUUAAGUUAAUUCAAGUCCAUAUUUUAAGUCUAUUAAAACAUCUCGAGCCUAAACUCAAGGAAGAGUGUUGAUUUUAAGGGCGUGUUUGGUUCGAAGUUGGAGUCGGAAUCGGAAUCGGAAUCAAAAUAAGUUGGAAUCGGAAUCGGAAUGACUCAUUACCUAAUUCUGUUUGGUUCAUCACCUGAAUCGGAAUCGGAAUAAAUCAUUCCUAUUGUCGGUGUUUGGUUCAGGUGGAUAUAAAAAACGUAAUCAAAUUAAUAUACUAACAUUAUCUUUAUAAUAUAUUAAUUUAAAUUCAAAUUAAAUAUUAAAUAUUAAAAAUUUACAUCAAAAUUUUGAAAUAAUGUCAAAAUUUUAAAUCUAUUUUUUUUAAAAAAAAUUAAACUUUGAAGUUGAGUGGAUAAUUCAAAAUGUGAAACUAAAUUUUGAUUUAUUCAAAUUCAAACUAAAAUUACAAUUUAAAUUUUAAUUUGAAUCUAUAAAUUUAAUUUAAGUUUGAAAUAAAAUUUGAAUAAAACUUUAUAUAAAUUAAAAUUUAAUUUAAAUUCAAAUUCAUAAGUUAGAUUCGAAAUACUUGAUUAAAUUUUAAUUUUUAAUUUAAGUUCAAAUUAAAAUUUAAAAUUAUAUAUUUAAUUUUUAAAUUUUAACUUAUAUUUUAAUUAAAAAAGUUGAAAAAAUAAAUUUAAUCCGAAUAAAUAUUCAUUCCGUCCUGAUUCAACUUCCAAUCCGGCAUUCUAGGCCGGAUUGAAAAAUGAGGUGAUUGGGGGAUUCCCAUUCCACUCGGGAAUGGGAAUCGGAAUGAGACUCCCGCGUACCAAACACCCACAAACGGAUUCAUCCAUUCCGAUUCCGAUUUUAGGGUGAAAAAGAAGCGAACCAAACACGCCCUAAAUAUUAAAAAUAUUGCUUUUUAAUAACUUAAGUUUUUAGAGAUAAAUAUUUCAUUUUUUUUUAUAGAUUUUAUUUUUUUUCCAUAUUAUAGUGAACGAUUAUACUUAAUUACCAUUAGAAAAUAAAGAAGUGUACCUUAAUUUAUAUGAUUUUACUCCAACCACUUUUCAUCUACUAGCAUGCUCCAGUUCCCAAAUGUGUCCUAAAUUAGAAGACAAUCCAAAAUAUGAAGAGCCCGGGUUAGAAGUUGGCAACUAAAGUUAAUUUAAUGCGUAAACUUCAAUUUACUCUCCAUGAUUUAGUAGAUUUUUACUUUGUUUUUUUGUAGUUCAAAAGUUGCACUUAAUUAUCAUAUAAUUUUAUUUUUAUUUUACCAAUGGAAUGACAUAAGUUAGGAAAGUAAAUUUAUUUAUAAAAAAAAAAUCAUAAAGUGAUAUCCUGGUUAACAAUAAGGGCAUGUUUGGUUCGUACAUUUUGGAUCCGAAAUGGGAAUCGGUUUGAUCAAAUCCUGCUAAUUUUGUUUGGUUUACAGGAAUCGGUUUGGGACUCCCAUUCCGGAUCGAAAUGGGAAUGGUCCAUUAGCUUACAAAUUAAUUCCGGUCUCCAGGCCCGGAUUGAAGUUUCAAUUCCAAGCCCAUACUCACCUCUUCCUCAGACCCAGCCUAACGUUUCUCCAUCUUAUCCAUUCUUUCUCUCCAUAUACCAAUCUUUUUUCUCUUUUGUCAUCAUUUAAAAAAACGUGAUAUAUUAUUUUUUAUUACAAUUUUAUUCAAAAAAAUUUAUGCAUUUUUUUGUAAUUUUUUGCAUAAAAAUUUUUAAAAUAAAUUCCUUUUUUUUGGCAUAGCUCUGACUUGAGAAUAGUAUUAAUUUUUUUUUUUUAUAAAUUUUAGAUAGUUUUAUAAAAUUAUAUUUAAAAGUAAAGUUAGAAUUAUGUUAUUCUAUUAUUUUUUACUUUGUAUGAACCAAAUAGUAAAAUAGGAAUAAUUCAUUCCAAUUUUCAAAUCAGAAAUGAACCAAACGUCUUGGAGGAGUAGGGCAAUCCAAUUGUCAUUUCAAUUCAUUCUCAUUCCAUUAUUCAUUCCAAUUUUACUCUUGAACCAAACAAGCCUUAAAUUCUUAUAAUAAAAUAAAAAUUAUAUUAGUAGAAUAGUUAAGUAUGUUUAACUUUUCAAAUCAUGUAAAAAGUGAAUUAAAAAAUAUUAAACAACAGUACGAAAAAUUAAAUUUACCUAAUUUAAUUCAUCACGCUAACUCGAUCCCAAUUCAUUCAUUUCCUUGAUCCAAAGAUUCUACAAUCUCAUUCUCUCAACCUUGUCGGAGUGCAAAUUAAAUAUAUAUAUGGUACAUCAAAAGUCAAAUCAUGCAUUAUAAUUUUUUAAUGUAUAAAUUUUUUUAAACUUUAUAAAAUUAUAUCAAACAAAUUAAAUUUUAAUUUUAAAAUUUUUUAGAGGAAAAUAUAAUUAGUUACACAUUUACUUCAUUUUGAUAUCUUUUUUUAUCCCCGAGUAAAACUUAGUAAGAGAUGUAGUGCCAACAUGCAUAUGCUGAUCCUUGAAACUUUUUAGAAUGUAUCCGUUAUCUUGAUAGAGUGGCAUCUCCAAUCAAUCAAAGAAUUUUUUUUAAAAUUUAUUCGUUCCAUAAUAAUUAUAAAAGGUAUAAUUUUAUUAUAUAUUUAAAAAUAAUUAUAAUUAAUUUAUUAUUAAUAAUAUGAUAUUAUUAUUAAUGAUGUGAUGUAAGUACGGUACUAGACUUUUUUCUGCUAAGCCAGCUAUAAUGACUUUCAGGACGGAUAAAUGCAGUCCAUUAUAUUUCUAUACUAUUUUAGGAAGCAUUUUGCUCGUCCUUUGUUUGGACAGAUGCAAUCAUGAAUGAGAGGGCCCGACAAACCUUCACUCCGUACACAAGAGUUAUUGCAGCUGAUGUGUUGUUUAUUGGAAGCGGACCACGUGUUGCACGUACGGAAGAGGGAGUGAUAAGAAAAAUCUCAUAAAUUAUUAAUACCGUCCAGGCUCUCUUGAGCUAUUAGGGUGUGUUUGGUUGCACGUAAAAUUAGAAAAAAAAUUAAUUUAUUAAGAAAAAAAAAUUUUGGUGGAAAAAAAAUUUUACGCCUUUAGUUAUAUAAGGAAAGAAAAAUAUUUUUCAUGACUUUGUUUUAUUGAAAAAAAAAAAAAAUAAAAAUUAUUAUAUAAUUUUUAUUUAUAUUAUUAAAUAUUAUUUAUAAUUUUAUUUAUAGAUUAAAUAUAUUUAAAAUUAUAAUAAUUAUAUACAUGAUAUCUAUAUAGAUUAAUAUAUUUAUGAGAUAUUAAUAUAUAUAUAAUUAUAAAUAUAUUAUAUAUGGUUGUUUUGGGUUGAAAGACAUAAAAAAAGAAAGAGUAAAUAAAAAACGUUAUAUAUUCAUUUUAUAUGUAUAUAUAUUAUUAUUCAUAAUACGCCAUCAAUUAUUAAUACUAUAUAAUUUUAAAAUUAUUAAUAAGUAAUAAUAAUAUAAUAGCAUAAUGUAUAUUAUUAGUAUAAAAUAAAUCACUAUAUUAUUUAAUAAAUAAUAUUUAUAAACUGUUGAUAUUAUUAUAGUAUAUAUAUAUAUAAAUAAUAUAUAUUAAAUAUUAUAUAUAUAUAAGAAGAGAGAGAGUCACGAGGCCGGGUCCUCGUGGACUCUCUUCACACGGUCACGAGGGAGCAGUUCACUCGUUGGACCGCAUGUUAAUAGCCUGUGCGCGCCCGGAUUUUUCAACCAGUGGUUUUGUCCGGCCGAGCGGAAAACUAAAAUAGCUUCGUUUUUUAAGGAAAUCUGUAAACAAAUUUGCCUGUAAAGAUCUUUUACAGACAGCCAAAGAUAGGAAAAAAGUUUCAACGAAAAAUUAUUUUUCAGAGACUGCAUUUACGAGGUCCUAACGGCCCUUAGUCUCUAUCAAAAUAAUCGUGAUAGUUACAAAAGCACUUAAUUUUACCAUUGGCCUGAGAUUAAUCAUUUGCUGUUCGCUUAAUAUUCUAUAGCUGAUAUUUCAAAUUUUUUGAAAAUGCCUGUAGUUAUUUUAUCAAUAAUUUUCAUCAUUCACGAAUUACACCACCUAAGAUAAUUUAAAAUUUAAAAUUUAAAUUAAAAUUCUAAAAUAUUAAAUUUAAAUUUUAAAUUCUGAAGUUCAAAUUGGUGUGAAGGAAAAUUUGUUCCAAGACAAACUUCUUUUAAUUCUACAAUUAAAUUUGAAAUUCAAAUUAUGUAUUUUGAAUUUGAAUUUCAAAUAAAACUUGGAAAUUAAUAUAAAUAUUGAAUUAAAAAAAUCGAAAUAUUGAAAGUUAAUUAGCUAUAAUAAUUUCUUAUAUUUUGGCAUUCAAGGACGAUUUGAGUUAUAUUCGAAAGCCAAAAAUCAAAUUUUUAAAUUUUAAAUUAGUAAAUUUACUAAUUUAUAAAUUAGAUAUAACUAUUAUUAAUAUUAAAAUUCAAAAUGUUAUAUAUUGUAAAUUUUUAGUGAUGAUGGAGGGCUCAAGAUCUGGUAGUUUAAAUGUAAAACUUGAAAUUAGAAAAAUUCUAUAUUAAAUUUUUCGGAAAUAUUUAGUCAGAUAAAGUUCGGAAUUAUUUUACAACUAUGACUAGUCAGCAGCUCUGGAACUAAGAUUAGGAUAACACUCCGUGACGUGAGAUAAAAUAAGAAAUAUUUAUGAUAUAACUCAUUCUAUUGGAAGAGCAUAUAUGAUAUUUUAAUAUUUUUACAAGUAUCUGCGGUAGUUUAAGAUUUUGAGGAGUAGUUAUGAAACUGUCCCCGCAUUUCAAAAUUUGGAAAAUUGAUCUCCCUCACUUGCGGAUUUCAUGUAGUACAAUUUUUAGACAGUGUUCUUAAUGCAAGUAACAAAUUAUAAGCAACUUUAAAGAAAAAAAAGUUACCUAUUUUUAGGGAUCACAUUUCGAAAAAUCUGAAGAUGAGUUUUUAGCUGUCCAGAUUUCACACUUUGAUAAAAAAUAUGAUCUGAAUAAUCAUAAAAGGGGAUAGCUUACGCUUACCUAUUUUUAAUAUGCACAAGACAUCGACUAUAAAUAUGUGUUGCUAAAAGUAAAAUUUACUUUUGUCCAAAUAAGUGAAAGAUGGAAUUAUUAAAUUAAGGCCAAUUUGCAUAAAAAAUUCACUAAUUUUGGGUUUUUGCAAAAGUGUGACUUUUUUCGUUUUUGUAGAUUCGGUCUGAAUUUUCAGCAAACUGAUCAAAAUACUUUUAUUAUUUUUUCUCUCUCCUCUUUCUCUCUCCUCUUUUUUUCUCUCGUUUAUUUUUUUUUCUCUCGUCGAAGAAAGCAGCGGAGGCAGAGGCGGAGGCUGAAACCCCCUGCCACGCCUUUCACCCUCAUGCUCUCGCCCUUGCCUUUGGUUUUUCUCUUUUUUGUGAUUGUAUCAGCUUUUGCUGAGAAUACGAGUUUAUAGUAAAAAUUCGAUUCGACGCUUCCGUUGUGUAAUCCCAACAAUCGGCUCCGAAUCCACAGCAAUCGGUAUCGAAGCGGGUUGCGAAUUCUCAAAAUCCGGUACCAAGACGAUUACCGAAUUCCCAAUAUAUAUAUAUAUAUAUAUAUAUAUGAGUCCGGCUACUGUACUAUUGAUAGUACCAAGCCUUUGGUACUAUUGAGUUUUCUACCGUUAGAUGUACUCUUUGAUCAUUUCCACCCGUUAGAUUAUACUAUUAAGCCAACCACCCACUCAACCUCAGGGGACCACUAUCAACCUAACCGCACAUCCUUUCAUCCAACGGCCAAAAACUCAAUAGUACCAAGGGCUUGGUACUAUUGAUAGUAUAGUAGCAUAAUUCUAUAUAUAUAUAUGAAUUAGCCUGAAAUACUAUUAAUAGUAAAACGCUCUAUUUGCUAUCAAGUUUUUAACCCUUGGAUGAAAAAUUGUAAGGUCAGGAUGAUAUUAGUCAGUUAUAGUUGAGUGGUCCCCCUAGGGUUGAGUGGUCUCUAUUGGGUUAUAGUAUUUAAUCCAAUUGUUAGAAAUAAUGAAAAGAGUUGAUCCAAAAGCUAAAAAACUGGUAGCAAUAAUAGGAUUUUGCUACUAAUAGUAGCCCAGUCCAAACUAUAUAUAUAUAUAUAUUAAAACACCUCUCUUUAAUUACUUAAGUUUCUAUAUAAAAAUAAUUGUUUCACAUCCUUUCAUAAAUUUAACUUUUUUCAUAUUAUAAUAAAUUGAUUAUAAUAUAAUUCCUACUGUUCAAUUAGAAAAUAAUGAAGUAUAUCUUUAUAUGAUUUAACUCCAACCAAGUUUCAACUACUAGCAUGCUUCAAUACCCAAAUAGGUCCUAAGUUACAAGACAAUCCAACAUAAGGAAAGCCCAAGUUCUAAGUUGGCACUAAAGCUUAUUUACUGAGUAAAAUUCGAUUUACCCACACCCCCUACCCCUGUAAUUUAGUGGAGUUUCACUUUGUUCUUAUGUAGUUUAAAGGUUGCAUUUAACCAUCAUGUGAUUUUUUAUUUUUAUUUUAUCAAUAGAACUUGACAUCAGUUAGCAAAUUGAAUUUUUUGUUCUGUUUAACACUAAGUCUUUACAAGAAAAUAAAAUUAAUAUUAUAGGAUAGUUAAGUAUAACUUUUCAAACCGCAUAAUAACAAAGUGAAAAAAAAUAUUAAACAGCAGUAAAAAAAAUUAAAAAUUACCUAAUUAAAUUCAUCAUACUUACUCGAUCCCGAUUCAUGCAUUUGUUUCCCUUCAAAGAUUCUACAAUCUCAUUUUCUCAACGAUAUCUGAGUGCAAAUUAAACAUGUAUUAAACCAAAAAUCAAAUCACGGAUUAUAAUUUUUUAAUGCAUAAAUCUUUUAAAUUUUAUAAGAUUAUAUCAAAUUAAUUAAAUUUUAAUUAAUUUUCAAAUUGUUUAGGGGAAAAGAUAAUUAGUUAUUCGUUUUGUUCAUUUUGAGAAUUUCUUUUGGCACCGACUAUUACUAGUGCAAGUAAUAAAGAGAUUGGUGGUUGGUAUUCGAAAUUCUAAAUUCGAACUAAAUUUAUUUUUAAAUAAAAUAAACAAAUCGAGUAGCAUGCUACCUACCCAUCUCUUAAAAAAACAGAAUUUCUUUUGGCAAAACCUACCAAAUGUAGACCCAAUGUGUGCGUGUGCAAACGUUAUUUUUGGCAAAACCGACUAGAUGUAGACCCAAUGUGUAAUGUGUACGUGUGCAAACGUUAUUUUUGGCAAAAUCAACUAGAUGUAGACCCAAUGUGUACGUGUGCAAACGUUAUUUUGUCUCUUAUCAAUAGUUAGUAAAGUCGCAAUCGAGAGGGGGACAACUUUUAUUGCAGCUGAUGUGUUGUUAUUCAAAUUAUGGGAGCAGUUGUUGCCCAACGGGAAUAUAAAGGACUGAUAAGAGACGUGCAGGAAUUAAAACAAGUUAUAUUUAAAUUUAAAAAAUACUAUUGUUCAGGAUAGUUGUUUAGCAUUAUGAAAGUUUUUUUAAAAAAAAUUUAAGAACGCCACGCUUAUGUAUUAAAAUAUCACAAUGCCCUUGUAAAUUAAUAAUAUCAUUCGUGCUCUUUUAAAUGGUCAUAAAUAUUAUAGUAAAUAGCUCCAGUGAUUAGUUUCUAUUGAAAAAUCUCGUCAUUAAUUGUUAUAAAAUAUUUAGUUUUUUACCAUUACGUACUAUUAGUAUAGUAACCCGUGCGAUGUGAUUAACAGAUAAUUAAAGGAAAAAUAAAAAACGGCGACAAAGAAAGAGUAAACGACAAUGGAAGAAGUGACGGUGAGGAGAUUCAUCCCGCUGAUAAACGAAGAUAAAAGUUGAAGAAAGAGGAAAAGAUAUAGUUUGGUCUAAUGCAGAGUUGUGAUCCAGUUUGGUUCAUGCAAAAAAAAAAAAUCCGAUUCGGUUCAAGCAAAAAAAAAAGAAAAGCUUGAGACGGUUUGGGGUAAAACCCACACUCUAUAGUGAUUGAUUCAGUUUAAAUAUAAAAAAAAGAAAAAAAUUGGUUCAAAGAUGGAAACAUGUGGAGCAGUUGGGCUGGUUUAGCCCAAUGGAACAGGUUGAUCUAAUUCGUUUCAAGUAAAGAAAGAGAGAAAUCAGACUCGUUCCACGUACGUAAAGAAAGAGAAAAAUAUGUGAAAAACUUAAGCCGGUUUUCAGAGGAGUCUACACUCAACAAUGAUCAGUUCGGUUCAAGUAAAGAAAAAAAAAAUCCGAUUAGAUUCAAGAAAAAUAAGGAACAAAAAAUGGAGAAGUUGAAUAGGUUCUUGAUGAAGCUCACACUUAAUAAUGAAAGGAAUGUUAUUAUGUGGCAAAACUAGAAAGCAUAACGUAUAGGGAUAAAUUGAUAUCGUUAAUGUUGCUUAAAUUUUCUAUUGCUGAUAUUCAAAGUUUUCUACAUCAUUAAUGUCGCUUAAAUGGUAUUCAAAAUUUUCUAUAGCGUAUUUUCCAAAUUUAUUAGAACUAAGAUUAGGAUAAUGCUAUUUGACAUGAGAUAACAUGAGAGAUAUUUAUGAUAUUUUUAGAAGUAUUUGUGAUAGUAAAAGAUUUUGAGGAGUAGCUAUGAAGCGGUCCCUAAAAAUCUCUGCAGUUCGAGCUCUCACAACCUCGUUUCAAAAUUUGGAAGAUUUUAUGUAGUACAAUUUUUAGACGGUGUUCUUAAUUAAGGGAAGAAACUUAUAAGCAACUUCAAAGGAAAAAAAGUUAUAUACUCGAUCGCGUAUAAUUUGGAAAUUUGAAUAUGAGUUUUGUCCUUUUUUUUUGAGAGAGAUCUAGAAAGGUAGCAUAAUACUCGCUUUGUUUAUUUCAUUUAUAAAUAAACUUAGCUGAAAAUGUGAAUCAAAUAGAAUUCGAAUUUGGAUCUCGAGUACCAAGCACCAAAUCCUUUGCCACUUGCUCUAGAGACAGUCGGUGAUAAAUAAUAUGACUUGAACACUCGUGCAAGGUGAUAGCAUAUACCCUCACCCACUUUUCAUAUGCACAAGACAUUAAUUAUAAUGUAUGUUUGUAAUAUACCGGAUUUUUAAUAUAAAAAUAAGUGUAAAUAAAAAUAGUGUAAAAUACUAUUUUUAUUGGACUUAGAGAAUGGAAACAGAAGAUUUAGAAUUUUCUGUAAGAAAUGAGAUUGAUAUUUUAGCAGAAAAUUCAGUGUCAGAAAAUUAUUUUUGUUAGUGACAAUGUUGGCGGUCUCGAGGCGUGACAAUGUUGGUGCAAGUAAAAUUUAUUUUUGUCCAAAUUAAUAUGGAAUAAGUAAUGAGAUUUGAAUUCUUUUUAUUAACCCUUCAACUCAGUUUGUUCUACUUACAGUACGGCGUUGGACCACUGUGUUAGUUAAUUCGCGUAUAAUACGCGAAUUAUACGUGAACAAACGGAAAACCAUAAAAAACGCUCCGUUUACGAAUUUUUUUCCAAAAAACCGAAAAAAACACGUUUUUCUCCCUCCCUCAGAUUAUUCGCGAUAAAAAUGGUUUUUCCGAGUUAUAUUUCGAAAAAUUCGGAUGUAGCAGCGGUGGAAAGAUAAAAUUUCUUGAGAAAUUUGGAUUUGGUGGCUGCAGACUGAUGAAAUUUUUUGGACCAGCUUUUUGGACCGGCAUCAGGCGAGCACCAUUCCGCAAAUUCGCGCACCUCUUCGUGAGCAAUCGAGCAACUUUGACUGUUCAAUUUUGAAGGAAACAUGCAGACCGAGCGAAGCAAAGAAGAAAAGGGGCGAGCGAGGAAGAAGGAGGAGCUUGGAAAAAAUCGCAUUGUAUGUUGGAAAAUAGUAGGGUCCACGAGGCUGCAUUCAAGGCCUUUGAAAACCACAAACAAACUACAAUCCUAAUUAAAGAGAGUCAUCGAUAUUUACAAUCCUAUUAAUAGAGAAUCAUUGAUAUGUCCUAGUUCACCUACUGAUCAACCACGAUAAUUAUAAUAAAAUCAAACUUAUAAAAUAUUGAAAUAUAGAAGAAGGCUUGACUAACAAAUAUAACAAAUAAGUUAAGUCCCCUUAAUCAAAUUUGUAUCUUGGAAUAAUCUCUCAUGCUACUUCUUCUUACACUCAACUACUGUACUUUUCUCUUUCUAAGGUGUUCAAUAUGUGCAUUCAAUAUGUGCAUAGUGUUUCUAUUUAAUUUGCUUUCUUUUUAAUUUUUUCGACAUGAACUUUUUUUUUGAACUUUUUUUUUAUUCUUUUUUCCUUUUCCACUUCACUAUUUCUUUUCUUUUUUCCUUCUCUACUUCCAUCGCAUCAUUGGAAUCCGAAUGUAGCAAUGUAAGUUCCAUCCAGAUUUAAUGCAAAUUAUAGUGAACAGCAUAGAAAUUUGCACUUUUUUUUUUGCAUAUUUUUUUAUUCAGCAAGAAAACAUUUAAGUUAGCAAUGAUAAUAAAAAAGAAGACAAUAUUAAAAUGAUACAAACAACAAUCAACUCUUAUAUCGAAAAAAAGGUAUGAAGACACAGAUCACACAAAACUUAGCCAGUUCCCGAGCAAACAAAAGAAAAGUCCCAAAAUUAGGGAUUCUGUGCUUCGAGGGGCAUAGAGGCCUUUUUACUCCUAAAUUAUUUUCGAUGAUGAAAUUUUCGAAUCGAUGAUCAAUUCCGUUAUAUUUGAUCUAGCGUAUUUGAAGUAUAUAGAAAAAGAUUUGAUCUAGCGUAUUUGAAGUAUAUAGAAAAUAAAUUUUACGUUUUUUCGAUAAUUCUUUAAUGAUCGAAAGCGUUCAAAAUUAAUGGCUGAAAAUAAAGAAUGCAUAAAAAAUGAUGAUAUAAAGAUCGUAUUAAAAGUUAGGGUCAAAAUUGGAUUGGACUAUAAAUAAAUUAGUUCAUUUUUAUUUCAGGAUGGAAUGCAAAUCAAAAUUUGCUUUUUGUAAAGCAAACAAUACAUUCGAAAUAAGUGAAUGUUCAUUUUUAUUUGCUCUCUUGCAUUCUUAUUUUUGUAGCUCCCCACAAUAAAUGCAAUAUUUUCCAAAAAUAUUAGAAAAAUUAAAGAAUAUAUACACCCUCAUAAUGUGUACAUAUUAUUGUAAUGUGCAUGUCCCUGGUCAAAACUUACGUGAGGUUAGUUUUCCAAAUUAUCUAUUUAAAUUGUUGGAUCUAGCAUGUCGUCAGAAAAAAUUACGUGGAGUUAGUUUUCCAAAUUAUCUAUAUAAGAAUGUAAGAUUUAUUACCACGUAGGUGUUAAAUCUCACAUUCUGAGAUAAUUUGAUAAGGUAGUUAGAAUUUUUCUUCUCUCUACUAUUAGUGGUCCCAAACUUCUUUUAGACCUACUGCCUGGAAAAAUUAUAAGGUACACCAAAAAGUUACAAAAAAAAAAAAAAAAAAAACAAAAAAAACAAAAAAAGAAAUAAACCAAGCCUAGCCUAGAUGCUUGUUGGUUGGUACCCGAGAUUCUAAGUUCAAAAUCUAAUUACUUCACAUUUUCAAUUAAGUUUAUUUCUAAAAUUAAUAAACGAAGCACAAAACAAAAACUUUCAAUUUAUUUGGAUAAUUUAUUAAUCCUAUCCUACUUAUUUUAGAAAAAAAAGUUAUAAUAUUUAAUAAGAAAGAACCAAAAGAGUCUAAUGGAUUUAAAAAAUUAAUAAUUGGAGGAAAGGAAAUUCUAACUAGCUUAUCAAGUUGCCUCAAGAUAUGAAAUUCAAUAUGUAUGUGACGAUACCGACCGUCCCUAGCGCAAGUGGUAACAAGGCUUGAUGGUUGGGAUCUGUGACCCAAUUCGAAUCCUUGUUGAUUCACAUUUUCUAGUCAAGUUUAUUUCUAAAUGAAAUAAACGAAACGAGUAGCAUGCUAUCUUUCUCUCAAAAAAAAAAAAAAAUCUGUAUGUGACGAUAAAUUCGACAUUCUCAAAUAGAUAAUUUGAAAAACUCUCUUGUGCGCAAUUUUUGGCAAUGUCACCUAUGCAUCAAAUUGUAUGGGACCAUUUCCAUUAACUUCGCACGAGCAUUAUCUCGAAGUAGGUGUCUAGGUGAUGGAAAGUGUUUGGGGGUAAAAUGUACGGCCACACCCUCAACUACAGGCCAUUCCAAGCUUGGAUCCCAAACAUUUCCUCUUUUUUUUUCUGAUAUUUUUUUUGUUUUAAAUUUUUGAUAAAUUGAGAUGUUUUAGUGAAAUACAUUAAGAAUUUUAUCAGAUUUUCCUUGACUCCAUAAGAAUCAGAACUAAACGAUGUUUAGCAAGGUAAUAAUUCAUCUUGUUUUAUCUUAAGAACAUGGUUAUAACUUAUAAGCGGGGAUGAAGCUAGAAUACAAAAAGAAACUUUAGCAAAUAAACAAGAUUUUACCUAAUUUAAUAUUUUAAUAAAAAAAUUUAUUAAUUAAAUAAUUAAUAAAAAUAUGAACUUUAUUUUUUUUCUAUUUUCAGACGUUUAACUUCUAAUUAAUUAUUUUAUUUAUAUUAUUACAUUCAAAUAACUUAAAAAUUUUACAAAAUCUAACGGUGAUUUCUUAAUUUUUAGUAAAUAAAAUUAGCAUAGCUAUUAAAUUUGGUGUAAUCUUUUAUAUAGUUAAAUAAAAUAGCUCAACUAACAUAGUUAGAAGUUAAAAAAAUAUUAAACGAAAAUUAUAGAGCGGAGAAAUAUAUUUCAAAAUGCUCUAUGAGUAAGUGGCUCUUAAUAUAUUUUCACUUACAUAAAGAGUAUACAAAUAAGGAGAGGGAGAGUUAUACUAGCACCACGAGCUAUUAAGCAAAUAUUAAAAAGCUAGGAGAACCACGACUACCCAAAAAAGAGAGCUGAAUAAAUACCAAAAAGUAUUGAGAAAAUAUUAAGAAGUUGGGGGGAGCCAUGGCAACUUUUUUUUUGUUUUUUUUUUUUUGUUUUUUUUUUGUUUUUUUGCUUUUUUAUUUUUUUUCACCUUUCGUUGAGGCCUUGCUGCCUCACCCAUGUAGCUUAAUUCACUUACUGAAUGAAUAAAGUGGGUAACGCGCUACCUUUCUCUCAAAAAAAAAAAAAAAUGUGGGAGCCUAAGAUUUAUUUUGGUAUCAUGUUAAUCAAGAGAUUCAUAUAUUAAGAAAUAAUUUACUAAUUUAAAAUCAUUUGUCAUGCAAAGUAUAUCAAAUAAAAAUGAAAAUACAUGAUGUACGUGGAACAUAAUAUUAGACACACAUUGGGUGCAAUUCUUACACAGAUGCACUUUGCCUGUCCAUAAUGGAUGGCUCAAAUAGAACUACCGGUCUCGCGCUUGGAACUAUAGAGAAAUUGGGCCUUAAUGUCUCUCUUGAUUGAUAAACUAUUUUAUCUAGUUUCAUAUAUUAUUACAUAAGCUAUUUUAUCUAGUUACAUAUAUUAUUAGGAAAUAGAUCCAAUUUCAUUUGUUCCUUCUGUUUUAAAUAAAAUAGAUAUCAAUCACUAGGCGAAGCCUAAAUAUGAUAUUCUCUAGCUACUUAGAUCUUAAACAUCAUUAAGGUCCUAUUUAAAUGUCGGAAUAAGUUAUUCCAAAAUAGCUUAUUAGGUAUAAGAAAUUUCUAGUGUGAUUAUAAGAAAGAAGCUUUUUUUUUUUUUUUUUCUUGAAAGACUUUGAUAUCCAUAAUUUGAUAGAAUAACAUAUUUAUUUACGAGUGAUUUGUCUUAUUCGAAAAAUGGCGUAAAGGGUGAAUUUAUACUCAUUUAUUAAUAUUUGAUCACACACCUCAUGUGUUAAUAUGUUUUAACUUUUCAUACAAAAUUAAAAAGAUAUACCGAAUACGAUAUUUAUACAUUCAAAUCGGGUUGAAGUUAUAUAUGACGGUAUCAAUCCAACUCGGAUUAAACUUAAACUAAACCAAUUCAUUCAAAAAAAAAAAAAAAAACCAAACCACACCAAUUAAAACCUGUCUUAUUGGAGAACCGCCAAAGAGGAUGGAGCGGGGCCAAGUCUCUCAUGGUGCUACUACUAUAUAUGUGGGCUAAGAGCCAGGUCGAUCCGUAUAGAAUUUUUUUUUCACAAAAUUAUUUUUAUAUAGAAUAAAGGUUUUUUAAUAAAUAUUUUUUAUUUAUGGUAAAUAUCAAUGACCAUUUUUAUAUACAUUUUUUAUAUUUAUUCUUCAUUAUACAUUGGCUUCAUAGUACUAGCUAUCGUCUAACACAAACACUUAUUUCUAGAAUACGCGCAUACACAAUUGCCUUGCAUAAGGAGACAAAUGUUCGAUCCAUUUUGUAAUACUAAUAAGAAACAGUACUAGAUCACAGUAAUUAAGGAGCACACUCUCUAUUGUAGAUCUUUAAACUAGCUUACAUACUCACUGAACACACCGAAACAUAACAGAAAUUAACCACAAGGUCGAAGCAAGCAGCUGAACAAAUGGAUGCGUACAUGCAUCCUUAUUUAUAACUAAGCAAAUAUGAUAGCAAACUGCAUGCAGUGCGUUGCUAAUCAUCACUGCCGACCUACACUGAGCUUCGACUUUCAAAAACAAUCUAAAUGACUUCGACACUGGGCCCUGAUUGUAGAGUGGGAUAGAGAGGGUCCAUGGCGAUUCCACAUAAUCCAAAUGACGAUGACACAUCUCUUGCCAAGCGGAUGUAUCCACCCUCACCCCAUCCGGCACCCCAUGAGUUCCUUACUAUCCAAAAUUUUUUUCCGCUGCUAUCCUGCCCGUAACCUAUAAUGACGAUGGCAUGAUUGAGUCUAGUUCCACAAGGUCCGGUAAACACACCGCGCUUGUAAUGUUGAAAGUUUCCACUGGCAUCGAGAGCAGCAGCUAUUGGUUGAUUCGACACAGCGUACAUCAUGUUGCGUUCGUUGUUCCUCUGCACAUAUGUAUAGCGAGUAAUAUAAGCUGAAUUGGGCACGCCAUUGGUCUUGCAGGUACCUUUGGCUGCUUUGUAAGGGUAGAUAGCUGCGGAUGCCACGCCCUUGUUGGAUAUGAUGAAACUGUAGGCCUUGUUUAUCCAGCCGCCUUUGCACCCGUAGCUUACAGCACAAUCGAGAACUUGCUGCUCCGAUAAAGAUACUAAGUUCCCUCUUUUGAUCUUGUAGAUUGAUUCUACCGUCGCAAUUGAAGCGAAUGCCCAGCAAGAACCUGUGCCGAAACAAAGAUUAAAUCGUGUUAGCAUAACAAGUGUAAGCAAAGUUACAUAUAUAUGUAGGUUGCCAUGAUAAAAGAAAGCAUUCAAACCAAUUACCUAAUUAGAUGAUACUUGCAAGUACUUAGCUGCUUUUAACUUGUUUUCAAUACUUGUCAUGCAUAGGGGAUGUCCCGUUCUUUUUGACUAAAACGUAUUUUGCUUACUUUAAUAAUAUAAUUAUUGUAAUAACUUAAUUAACAAUAAGAAAUUCAAUAAUAGACCUAACAUCCAGAUGAGUUGAAUCAAGUCGAAAUCUAUAAAUGUUAUGGUUAAGUCUUUAAGUGUGUUGGAUACAUUCUUUUUAUCGCCACUUUUUCUGUAAUAGUUGAUUAUCACUUACCAUCCACAUUCGAUAGCUAGGAUGAUUUUUUAUUAACUAGAUUCAAUAUUUCGACAAUUUCCUUGUAUGAAGACUGAUAAUGUGUCCUAAUGAAUGUUUAGACACUUUUAAUUUGAUCGGCCAAAAUAAUGGACUUGUUGGGUUUUAGUGGGUGGAAAUUUGGUCCUUUAGUCCAAAAACGGCAGAAGGCAUAUUUGGUGAGAUUUGAUCUAAACAACAUGUUUAAAGUUAACUAAAAGAAUAGGUAUUUGUUCCUAGCUGAAAAAAUGAAGUUGCUUUGACAAUUUAUAGUCCACAUUAAUCCUUACCACAGCGGCCUUGGUUCUUGACACUUGUUACGGCACCAGAGUCUCUCCAAUCAAUACUUUGAGGCACCGAGGAGAUGUCUACGUCAUCAAACGACACCACUGGCUCUCUCUUGAUAUUUAGUGGGAGAGAUAAACCAGUAUAUUGAGCAACAAAUUCGUUAUUUGUCAUAUCGGUAAAUUGAUUGAUACCGAGAGUGUACGAAUUUCCGUUGCGAUUGUUAAAGGUUUCGAUAUGGUUCACGUUGUUCUUGAAUAUCUGAAACCGGAGCAUCUUCUCGUCGUUGUCCUUGUAAACUCGGCCGUACUCCGCCAUCCAUUCUUCAAACUGCUUCAUCAUGGGAUCACUGGGUUCGUCACAAGAAGCUGCCGAUGGCGAAGCCCACAUCACACAGAGAAACAAGAAAAGAAACACGAGUUGAACUUUGGAAGUCAUGCUUAUGUAGCACUAAAUAUCUACUUUUAUGUAUGAGGAAAUUGGAGAUCGAGCUUCAAGAGCUUUUGUUGCUGAGAGUAUGGCCUCAAGAUCGAGUUUAUAUAGAAGUUGGAGUAUUAAUAGGUGGAGGCCUACAAGAUGGCAUAAAUCACCAUCAAAUUAAAAUUAAAUAGAUCUUGACCGCUUAUGACACCGCGUCAUUUGGUCACGCGCUAAUCAUGAAAAAGAUAAUAAUGUUUCUCUACUUCUCUCACAUUUUAACUUUAUAAUUUCUUUCAUAGGGCAUAAAAUGACUAAUUAAAUAGAUCUUGAACCCUCCUCGCCAUAAGAUCAUCUUAGGUGCAAGCAAAAAGGAAUGUACAUUUCUCCAUUUCUAUCUUUUCACUCUCUAACUUUAAUCUUUCAUGCAUAGGCUAUAUAUAUUCGUUCUUCUUGUUUCUUUUUCCGUUGCAUGAGCAGGACCAACCCUAGAAAUAAAAACCUGAUCUGUAGUUUAGUCAAAUAUUGCUUUAAAACUCGAUCGAUCUGUAAUUUGAAAAGUAGCCAACUUUGAAACAGCAUAUAUAUAGUUGCAGCUCAAGCGGAAAAUAAACCAACUAAAAGCUAAGGUUCCCUUUAGAAUUGCAGCCACAUUACAUUGCGUACGGUAAGAAAUUAAAAAUAUAAAAAUAUUUUAUUUAUUUUCAUUAGUGAUUUUUAAAAUAUAAAUAUUAAAAAUAUUAUUUUCUAUACUAUAAACUUUAAGAUUAAUGAUUAUUUCACAUCCUUCUACUCUAUAUCAAUUGAAGGACUUGUGGCUUUAAGUUCUGCCCAUUUAAAAAUAUUCAAUAUUUUUAUAUAUAGGAACCCGGCGUCUCCCAAACUAAGUAUUACCUAUUCUAAUACUAUGCGAAAUAACAUGACACAGCGGUUGUUCUCCAAAAACUUAAAGAUGCCUCAGAGGAUAAGGCACUAAGUUUGAAUCUUAUCGGGCAAUAAUUUCAUCCAAUUUCUUUUAAUUUAAUUUAAUUUAAUUCAAGUUCACAUUUUAAGUCUACUGAAAUUUCUCGAACCUAAACAUGAGGUAGAGUGUUAAUUUUAUAUAUAUAUAUAUAUAUAUAUAUAUUGUUAAGAUUUCGUUAGAUUUAUAGAUUAAAUUCUAGUUGGAUAAAAAUUAAUAUUUAAAUUUGUUGGAGAUAAAUUAAAAUUUAAAUAUUAUUUAGAGUAUGAAUCUAACUAGAGUAGGAUAAAUAUUUAAAUCUAUUGGAGAUAAAUCAAUUAAGAUUUAAAUAUUUAUUGGAGUAGAAAAAUAAAUAUACUAGAAUUCGGGUACGCUUUGAUAUAAGCUUUAUAAAUAAAUUCAUCAUACUUACUCGAUCCCAAUUCAUUCGUUUUCCUUAUAAAAAAAAUAUUCUACAAUGUCAUUCUCUCAACGAUGUCUGAGUGCAAAUUAAACAUGUAUUAAACCAAAAAUCAAAUCACGGAUUAUAAUUUUUUAAUGCAUAAAUCUUUUAAACUUUAUAAAAUUAUAUCAAAUUAAUUAAAUUUUAAUUAAUUUUAAAAUUUUUUAGGGGAAAAGAUGCUUAGUUAUCUGUUUUGUACAUUUUGAGAAUUUCUUUUGGCACCGACCGUCACUAGCGCAAGUGGUACAGGGUUUGGUGGUUGGUAUUGGAGGUCCCAAAUUCGAGUUAAGUUUAUUUCUAAAUGAAAUAAACGAAGCGGGUAACAUACUAUCUAUCUUUUAACAAAAGGGGAAACUUCAAAUACCCGCCUGUGGUUUCGUACUUUCUCACUUUAGUACCCUGUGGUUUAAAGUGUAUCAAGUUGGUACCUAGCUGUGGUUUCGUAUUUUUUCACUUUCGUACUCUGUGAUUUCAAGUGUAUCAAGUUAUUAUCCUAUGGUUUCGCACUUUCUCACUUUAGUACCAUGUGAUUUAAUAUUUUGUUAAAUUAUAUGCCUCGAAAUGAAUAAUAAAAACAGAAAAUUGAAACCACAGGGUACUAACUUGAUACAAAAAUAAAACCACAAGGUAAUAACUUAAUACAGUUGAAACCAUAUAGUACUAAAGUGAGAAAGCGCGAAACCACAUGGUACUAACUUGAUAUAUUUUAAAUCACAAGCUACUAAAGUGAGAACGCAUGAACCCAAUGGGGGUAUUUGAAGUUUCACCUAAAAAAAGAAUUUCUUUUGGCAAAGCCUACGAGAUGUAGACCCAUGCAAUGUGUACGUGUGCAAACGUUAAUUUCUCUCUUAUCAAUCGUUAGUAAAGUUGCGAGGGGAACAACUUUUAUUGCAGCUGAUGUGUUGUUAUUGGAAUUAUCGGAGCAUGUGUUGCCCAACGGGAAUAGGGCUGAUAAGAGACGUGCAUGAAUUAAAAAAGUUAUAUUUAAUUUUUUUAAAAAAAUAUUGUUCAGAAUAGUUGUUUAGCAUUAUGAAAGAAUUUUUUUUAAAAAAAGUAUCAAUGCCACGCUUAUGUAUUAAAAUGCCCUCAUAAAAUGAUAAUAUCAUUCAUGCUCUUUUAAAUGGUCAUAAAUCUUAUAGUAAUUAGCUCUAGUGAUUAAUUAGUCUCUACCGAAAAAUCUCGUCAUUAAUUAUUAUAAAAUAUUUAUUUUUUUACCAUUACGUACUAUUAGUAUAAUAACUCGUGCGAUGUGAUAAAUAGAUAGUUAAAGAAAAAAUAAAAAAUGGCCACAAAAAAGAGUAAAUAACAAUGGAAGACACUACAACAGAAUUAGGUUAUAGAAACACAUGUUUGGAACACUUUUGAGUAAGUAUCCCAUUUAUACUAAAAUUUAAAAAAAUAUCUACUAAUGCCUAAAUAUAAAGCCCAAUCCAACCAAAAAUAAAAGAUUACUUUACUCAACCCACCACACCCAGUCCAUUUGGCCUGAUUACAAACAGAAAAAAAAAAGAAAAAUUAAUUACCAUAUUUUCUUCUCGCUUUACUCAAUCCACUGAAAUUCUAGACGAAGAGCCAUUCCUGUCGUCCUCCUCCGCCACCGCAGCCAACGAGAUAGAGUUUCGGCGGUUGCGAAAUGCUUAAAUAAGUUGUUGGUAAAUUAGCAGCACUCUUUUAGGUUAUAGCGACACUCUUUAACUGUCACUAUAUAUCUAGCGAACCCACAUAUAGCAACACUUUUUAAAAGUGUCGGUAAUUUUAGCUAGCAUCACUUUUUUGACAUGUACCUACAUUUAAAAGUGUCGUUAUAGACCGUUUUUAUUGUAGUGAGAACUGACGAUGAGAGAAGAGAUUUAUCCUGCCGAUGAACGAAAAUAACAGUUGAAGUGACAAAGGGCUUGGUGGUUGGUACUCGAGACCCAAGUUCGAAUCCUAGUUGAUUCACAUUUUCAGCUAAGUUUAUUUUUAAAUGAAAUAAACGAAGCGGGUAGUGUGCUACCUAUCUCUCAAAAAAAAAAAAAAAAAUAGCAGUUGAAGAAAGAGGAAAUGAAAUAGUUGGUCUAAUGCAGAGGCGUGAUCUAGUUUGGUUCAAGGAAAAGAAAAAUCCGAUUCAGUUCAAACAAAAAAAAGAAAAAACUUGAGACAGUUUGGGAUAAAGCCUACACUCAAUAGUGAUCGAUUUAGUUCAAGUAUAAAAACAGAAAAAAAAAAAAAUUUGGUUCAAAGCUGCAAACAUGUGGAGCAGUGGGGCUAGUUUAGCCCAAUGCAACAGGUUGAUUUGAUUCGUUUCAAGCAAAGAAAGAAAGAAAUCAGGUUCAUUCCACGUGAAAAAGGAGAAAACUUAAGCGUAUUUUCAAAAUUUAUUAGAACUAAAAUUAGGAUAACGCUAUUUGACAUAAGAUAAUAUGAGAAAUAUUUAUGAUAUUUUUAGAAGUAUUUGUGAUAGUUUAAGAUUUUGAGGAGUAGCUAUGAAGUUGUCCCUAAAAAAAUCUGCAGUUCGAUCUCUCACAACCUCGUUUCAAAAUUUGGAAGAUCAAUCUCCUUGACUUUCGAAUUUUAUGUAGUACAAUUUUUAGACGUUGUUCUUAAGGUAAGAAAUUUAUAAGCAACUUUAAAGGUUUUAGUCAAAUAUAUUCACUACAAAAAAAACGGUCUAUAGUGACACUUUUAAAUAUAGGUACAUGUCAAAAAAGUGUUGGUAGCAAAAAUUACCGACACAUUUAAAAAGUGUUGCUAUAUGUGGGGUAGCUAGGUAUAUAGUAACAGUUAAAGAGUGUCGCUAUAAUCUAAAAGAGUGCUGCUAAUUUACCAACACUUAUUUAAGCAUUUAGCAACCGCCGAAACUCUAUCUCGUUAGCUGCGGUGGCGGAGGAGGACGACAGGAAAGGCUCUUCGUAUAGAAUUUCAGUGGAUUAAGUGAAGAGAGAAGAAAAGAUGGUAAUUGAUUUUUUUUUUUUCUUUUCUGUUUGUAAUCGGGCCAAAUGAACUGGGUGUGGUGGGUUAAGUAGAGUAAUCUUUUAUUUUUGGUUGGAUUGGCCUUUAUAUAUAGGCAUUAGUAGAUGUUUUUUUAAAUUUUAGGAUAAAUGAGAUACUUACUCAAAAGUGUCCCAAACAUGUGUCCCUAUAACCUAAUUCUGUUGUAGUGUAUAUAUUAAGAAUUUUAUCAGAUUUUCCGUGAUUUCAUCAAAUUUAAAAGUUUUGACCAUUUCUAGCAAUUGAAGCUUGAAUAAUUUACAACUAACUAGAAUUGCCCAAAUUAAACAAAUUUAGAAGAUAAAAAGAUGGUAAGAGUGGAGGAGUCGAUUUCAAAGGAGCCUAUGAUUGAGCACGUCUUCGUACACUUCUAUCAAUUAUCUGCUCACGUAUGCAGCAGCCAGAGCUAAACUAUGUUUAUCGAUCAGGGCAAUAAUUCGCCUUUUUUUUUUAAUGAUCUUAAGAACAUGGUUAUAAGCUUUAAUUAAAAUUAUAGAGCUUGACAACAAGUUGAACAAGUUUAUGACAAAAAUAAAUAUAUAUUAUAAGCACAGUCCCACAAAAUUGUGGGAGCAUAAGAUUUAGUUGGUAUCAUAUUAUACGAACGAACCAUAUAUCAUCGCUCAUGCAUUUUGACCGUUCAUAUUGGAUGGUCCAAAUAGAACGAUCGGUCUUGAUUGAUAAGGUAUAUAUAUUUUUUAAUGAUCUUAGGAAAUAAAUCCAAUUUCAUUUGUUCCCUUUGUUUUUAAUAAAAUAGGAAUCAUUCACUAGGCUCAGCCUAAAUCUAAUAUUCAUUGUAGAGGUGGCAAUCCAGCUUUGCUGCUCGCGAGUUAGUUCAUGUUCGGCUCGAAAUGAACUCGAAAUCGAAUCGCUCGUUUAGUAAACGAGUCGAACACGAGCUGAAGUUUUCAGCUCGUUUAAUAAACGAGCCAAACACAAGCCGGCGUCAGCUCGCUUAUUUUCGGCUCAAUAACAGCUCAAAUAUAUAUAUAUUUUAUAUUUAUAUAAUCUAUUUAAUUUAUAUUUAUAUAUUUAUAUAUAUAAAUAAAUAAUUAUGUAAUAUAUAUAUAUAUAAAAUUUAAUUUUUAGAAAAAAAAAUAUAAAGUCGAGCUCAAUUAAAAAAAAACUCAUUUAUAUAUAAAGUUUCAACCAUUAAAUCAAAAUCUAAUGAAUAAAAUUUUAUAAAUUUAUUUUUUAUAUAUAUUCAAUCUAAUUAAUUUAAUUUAUUGUUCAUUGGCCAACUCGUGUUCGGCUCAUUUAUUAAUAAAUCGAACACAAGUUGAAUUUUUCAGCUUGAUACUUUAACAAGUCAAUUCGUGUUCGGCUCGUUUAUUAAACGAGUCGAAUACGUGCCGGCCCUAGCUUACUCGUGUUCGGCUCCUUAACACCCCUAAUUCUUAGCUACUUAGAUCUUAGACAUCAUGAAGGUGCAGUCGGAAUAUCCAAAUAAGUUAUUCAAAGAGAAGAAUUUCUAGGGUGAAAGAAGUUUAUUUUUUCUCCUAGGAAAGAAUUUGAUAUCCAUAGUUAGAUACCAUAAUAUAUUUUAUCAAAUUUUAGAUUUUUGAUCACACUGCUCAUCUAUUAAUAUUAUGUAUAAAUUUUUUAAAUAAUAUUUAUAAAAUAUAUCAAUUAAGAUAUUCAUGCAUCCAAAUAGGGCCGAAGUUAUGACGGUACCAAUCCAACUUGGAUUAAGCCAAAUUCAUUCAUCGAAACCAAACCAUACCUAACAAAACGUCCUUUAUUAGAUAACAGCCAAAGAGGAUGGACCUGGACCAUGUCUCGUGGGCCUACUACUAUGUAGGCGGAGAACAAUGUCGGUCCACGAGAACACCUAAUAUUUUUUAAAAAAAUUUUAUUUUAAUAGAAUAUUUUUUUAAAAAAAAUAUAAUUUAUUUAUGUAUAAUGAAUGACUAAUUAUUGUAAUAGAAUAAAAUUUUCUCUUUAUUGUAAUAUUUUUUAAAAAAAAGAUUUGUUACCAAUCGUUCCUAAAGUAAAUGGCAAAGGGUUUGGUGGUUGGUAUACGAGACCCAAGUUUGAAUCCUAGUUGAUUCACAUUUCCAACUAAGCUUAUUUUAAAAUGAAAUAAAUGAAGUGGGUAGCGUGCUACCUAUCUCUCUCUUAANUGAUCUAGUACUGUUUCUUAUUAGUAUUACAAAAUGGAUCGAACAUUUGUCUCCUUAUGCAAGGCAAUUGUGUAUGCGCAAAAAAAAAAAAAAAAAUUGUUUUUCAUUAACAGAAACAUACUAGAUCACAGUAAUUAAGGAGCACACUCUCUAUUGUAGAUCUUCAAACUAGCUUACAUACUCACUGAACACACAGAAACAUAACAGAAACUUACCACAAUUAAUGUCGAAGCAAGCAGCUGAACAAUUGGAUGCGUACAUGCAUCCUUAUUUAUAACUAAGCAAAUAAGAUAGCAAACUGCAUGCAGUGAUCACUUCCGAUCGACCUACACUGAGCUUCGACUUUCAGAAACCAUUUUAAUGACUUCGACAUUGGCCCCUGAUUGUAGAGUGGGAUAGAGGGGACGUAUGGCGAUUCCACAUAAUCCAGAUGACGAUGACACAUCUCUUGCCAUACGGAUGUAUCCACGCUCACCCCAUGAGGCACCCCAUGAGUUCCUUACUAUCCAAAAUUUUUUUCCGCUGCUAUCCUGCCCGUAACCUAUAAUGGUGAUGGCAUGAUUGAGACUAGUUCCACAAGGUCCGCUAAACACACCGCGCUUGUAAUGUUGAAAGUCUCCACUGGCUUCAAUACUAGCAGCUAUUGGUUGAUUCGACACAGCGUACAUCAUGCUGCGUUCGUUGUUACUCUGCACACGUGUAUAACCAGUAAUAUAAGCUGAAUUGGGCACGCCAUUGAUCCUGCAGGUGCCUUGGGAUGCUUUGUAAGGGUAGAUAGCUGCGGAUGCCACGCCCUUGUUAGAUAUGAUGAAAUCGUAGGCCUUGUUCACCCAGCCGCCAUCGCACCCGUAGCUUACAGCACAAUCGAGAACUUGCUGCUCCGAUAAAGAUAUUAAGUAUCCUCUUUUGAUCUUGUAGAUUGAUUCUACCGUCGCAAUUGCAGCGAAUGCCCAGCAAGAACCUGUGCCGAAACAAAGAUUAAAUCGUGUUAGCAUAACUAGUGUAAGCAAAGUUACAUAUAUAUGUAGGUUGCCAUGAUAAAAGAAAACAUUCAAACUAACCCAAUUAGAUGUUAUUUGCAAGUACUGAGCUGCUUUUAACUUGUUUUCAAUAGUUGUCAUGCAUAGGGAUGUCUCGUUCUUUUUGACUAACAUGUACGUAUUUUGCUUACUUUAAUAAUAUAAUUAUUGUACUAACUUAAUUAACAAUAAGAAAUUCAAUAAUAUACCUAACGUCCAGAUGAGUUGAAUCAAGUCGAAAUCUAUGAAUGUUAUGGUUAAGUCUUUAAGUGUGUUGGAUACAUUCUUUUUAUCACCACGUAUUUAUGUAAUAGUUGAUUAUCACUUAUGAUCGAUCCUCAUUCGAUAACUAGGAUGAUUUUUUAUUCACUAGAUUCAAUACUUUGAUAAUUUCCUUGUAUGAAGACUGAUAAUAUGUCCUAAUGAAUGUUUAGACACUUUUGAUCGGCCAAAAUAAUGGACUUGUUGGGUUUUAGUGGGUGGAAAUUUGGUCCUUUAUAAAGGACCAAAUUAUAUUAUUUGAUGAGAUUUGAUGAGAUUAUAUUAUUUAGUCCAAAAACGGCAGAAGGCAUAUUUGAUGAGAUUUGAUCUAAAAUACAUAUUUAAAGUUAACUAAAAGAAUAGGUAUUUGUUCCUAGUUGAACAAAUGAAGUUGCAUUGACAAUUUAUAGUCUAAAUUAUUUCUUACCACAGGGGUUUUGGUUCUUGACACUUGUUACGGCACCGUAGUUUCUCCAAUCAAUACUUUGAGGCACCGCGGAGAUGUCUACGUCAUCAAACGACACCACUGGCUCUCUCUCGAUAUUUAAUGGGAGAGAUACUCCAGUAUAUUGAGCAACAAAUUCGUUAUUUGUCAUAUCGGUAAACUGAUUGAUACCGAGAGUGUAAGAAUUUCCGUUGCGACUGUUAAAGGUUUCGAUAUGGUUCACGUUGUUCUUGAAUAUCUGAAACCGGCGCAUCUUCUCGUCGUUGUCCUUGUAAACUCGGCCGUACUCCGCCAUCCAUUCUUCAAACCGCUUCAUCAUGGGAUCACUGGGUUCGUCACGAGAAGCUGCCGAUGGCGAAGCCCACAUCACACAGAGAAACAAGAAAAGAAACACGAGUUGAACUUUGGAAGCCAUGCUUAUGUAGCACUAAAUAUCUAGUAUAUGUAUGAGGAAAUUGGAGAGUCUGGUCUCAAGAUUGAGUUUAUAUAGAAGUUGGAAUAUUAAUGGGUGGAGGCCUACAAGAUGGCAUAAUUAAAUCUCCAUCAAAUUAAGAUUAAAUAGAUCUGGACCACUUGUGACACCGCGUCAUGUGGCCAUGGUCACGUGCUAAUCAUGAAAAAAAUGAUGUUUCUCUACUUCUCUCACAUUUUAACUUUAUAAUUUCUUUCAUAGGAUAUAGAAUGACUAACUAAUUAAAUAGAUCUGGAACCCUCCUCGCCAUAAGAUCAUCUUAGGUGCAAGCAAAAGGAACGUACGUACGUUUCUCCAUUUCUAUCUUUUCACUCUCUAAAUUUAAUCUUUCAUGCAUAGGCUGUAUAUAUUCGUUCUUCUUGUUUAUUUUUCCAUUGCAUGAGCAAUACCAACCCUAGAAAUAAAAACUUGAUCUGUAGUUUAGUCAAAUAUUACUUUAAAACUCGAUCUGUAAUUUGAAAAGUAGCCAACUUUGAAACAGCAUAUAUAUAGUUGCAGCUCAAGCGGAAAAUAAACCAACUCAAAGCUAAGGUUCCCUUUAGAAUUGCAGCCACAUUACAUUACGUACGGUAAGAAAUUAAAAAUAUAAAAAUAUUUUAUUUAUUUUUAUUAGUGAAUUUUAAAAUAUAAAUAUUAAAAAUACUAUUUUCCAUACUAUAAACUUUAAGAUUAAUGGUUAUUUCACAUCCUUUUACUCCAUAUCAAUUGAAAUAAGGACUUAUAUAUGGCUUUAAGUUCUGCCCAUUUAAAAAUAUUCAAUAAUUUUAUAUAUAGGAACCCCGCAUCUCCCAAACUAGGGAUUACCAGUUCUAAUACUACGCGAAAUAAUAUGACGUAACUGUUGUUCUUCAAAAACUUAAAGAUGGCUCAGAGGAUGAGGCGCUAAGUUUGAAUCUUAUCGUGCAAUAGGUUAAUCCAAUUUCUUUUUAUGUAAGUUAAUUUAACUCAAGUUCAUAUUUUAAGUCUAUUAAAACUUCUCGAGCCUAAACAUGAGGUAGAGUGUUAAUUUUAUAUAUAUAUAUUAAACAGACCUUUCUUUAAUAACUUAAGUUUCUAUAGAUAAAUAAUUGUUUCACAUUCUUUCAUAGAUUUAACUUUUUUCAUAUUAUAAUAAAUUUAUUAUAAUAUAAUUCCUAUGCUUUCAUUAGAAAAUAAUGAAGUAUAUAUCUUUAUAUGAUUUAACUCCAACCAAGUUACAUCUACUAGCAUGCUUCAAUGCCCAAAUGGGUGCUAAGUUACAAGACAAUCCAAAAUAAGGAAAGCCCAAGUUCUAAGUCGGCACUAAAGUUAAUUUACUGAGUAAAAUUCAAUUUACCCACACCACCACCCCCUGUAAUUUAGUGGAGUUUUACUUUGUUCUUAUGUAGUUUAAAGGUUGCAUGUAACUAUCGUGUGAUUUUUUAUUUUUAUUUUAUCUAUAAAACUUGACAUCAAUUAGCAAAGUGAAUUUUUUGUUCUGUUUAACAGUAAGUCUUUACAAGAAAAUAAAAAUUAAUAUUAUACGAUAGUUAAGUAUAACUUUUCAAACCGCAUAAUAACAAAGUGAAAAAAUAUUAAACAGCAGUAAGAAAAAUUAAAAAUUACCUAAUUAAAUUAAUCAUACUUACUCGAUCCCGAUUCAUUCGUUUUCCUUCAAAGAUUCUACAAUCUCAUUCUCUCAACGAUAUUUGAGUGCAAAUUAAAUAUGUAUUAAACCAAAAAUCAAAUCACGGAUUUUAAUUUUUUAAUGCAUAAAUCUUUUAAACUUUAUAAAAUUAUAUCAAAUUAAUUAAAUUUUUUAAUUAAUUUUAAAAUUUUUUAGGGGAAAAGAUACUUAGUUAUCCGUUUUGUUCAUUUUGAGAAUUUCUUUUGACACCGACUAUUUCUAACGCAAGUGGUAAAGAAUUUAGUAGUUGAUAUUCGAGAUUCAAAAUUUAAACUUAAUUUAUUUCUAAAUAAAAUAAACGAAGUGGUACCUAUCUACGAGAUGUAGACCCAAUGCGUACAUCCGCAUACGUUAUUUUCUCUCUUAUCAAUCGUUAGUAAAGUCGCAAUCGAGAGGGGGACAACUUUUAUUGCAGCUGAUGUGUUGUUAUUGGAAUUAUCGGAGCAUGUGUUGCACAACGGGAAUAUAAAGGACUGAUAAGAGACGUGCAUGAAUUAAAAAACAGUUACUGACGAUGGAAGAAGUGACAAAAAACAAAAAGAGAUUUAUCCUGCCGACAAAAAAAAGAGUAAAUGAUAAUGAAAGAAGUGGCGAUGAGGAAAGAGAUUUAUCCUACUGAUGAACGAAGAUAAUAAUUAAAAAAAGAGAAAAAGGAAUAGUUCCGCUUAAUGCAGAGGUGUGAUCCAGUUUGGUUCAAGCAAAAAAAAAAAAAAAUCGGUUCGAUUCAAGCAAAGAAAAAGAAACACUUGAGACGGUUUUGGGUAAAGCUUAUACUCGAUAGUGAUAGAUUCAGUUCAAGUAUAAAAAGAGAAAAUAUUUAGUUUAAAGAUGAAAACAUGUGGAGCAGUUGGGUUGGUUCAGUCCAAUGCAACAGGUUGAUUUGAUUCGCUUCAAGUAAAGAAAAAGAGAAAUCAGGUUCAUUCCACGUAAAGAAAGAGAAAAAUAUGUGAAAAACUUAAGUCUGUUCGGAAGAGUUUACAUUCAAUAAUUAUUGAUUCGAUUUAAGUAAAGAAUAAGGAAAAUUCGAUUUGAUUCAAGCAAAAAGGAAAAAAAAAAAUUAUGCGAAAAACUUGAACGGAUUCUGAAUGAAGCUCUGAAUGAAGCUCACACUUAAUAAUGAAAGGAGCGUUAUCAUGUGGCAAAACUAGAAGGAAUAGAUAGAUAUCACUAAUGUCGCUUAAAUUAUCUAUAGCUAAUAUUCAAAGUUUUCUACAUCAUUAAUGUUGCUUAAAUGGUAUUCAAAAUUUUCUAUAGCGUAUGUUCAAAAUUUAUUAGAACUAAGAUUAGGAUAACGCUAUUUGACAUAAGAUAACAUGAGAAAUAUUUAUAAUAUCUUUAGAAGUGUUUGUGAUAGUUUAAGAUUUUGAGGAGUAGCUAUGAAGUUGUCCCUAAAAAAAUCUGUAGUUCGAGCUUUCACAACCUCGUUUCAAAAUUCGGAAGAUCAAUCUCCUCGACUUUCGACUUUUAUGUAGUACAAUUAAUUUUUAGACGUUGUUCUUAAGGUAAGAUAUUUAUAAGCAACUUUAAAGGAGAAAAAGUUAUAUACUAACAGGGAUCGCAUUUAAUUCGGAAAUUUGAAUGUGAGUUUUUACUUUUUAACCGUCCAGAUUUCACACUUUGAUAAAUAAUACGACUUGAAUACUCAUAAAAGACGAUAGCAUGCCCUUACCCACUUUUCUUAUGCACAAGACAUAAACUAUAAUGUAUGUUGGUGCAAGCAAAAUUUAUUUUAUUUGAGAUUUGAAUUCAUUUUAUUAACCCUUCGACUCAGUUUGUUCUACUUACAGUACGGCGUUGGACCACAACAUACAUAUCGAUUAUUCAGAUACGACUUUAUUAAAUUGCAUUAAAGGCCUCUAAAGUUAAAAAUUUAGUUUGGGGACCAUUUGCUUUAAUUUCGCUCGGGCAUCAUCUGAAAUAGGCCAUGCCAAAUUAGGCCCCGCCCUCAACUACAGGCCACGCCCUCAUCUACAGGACAUUCCAAACUAGGUCCCCCAACAUUUCUUUUUCUGUUUUUUUUUAAAAGUUUAUUUUUGUUUUAAAUUUUUUGAUAAAUUAAGAUGUUUUAGUCAAAUAUAUUAAGAAUUUUAUCAAAUUUUUCGUGAUUUCAUCAAAUUUAAAAGUUUUGACCAUUUCUAACAAUUGAAGCUUGAAUAAUUUACAACUAAUUAGAAUUGCCCAAAUUAAACAAAUUUAGAAGAUAAAAAGAUGUUAAGAGUUGAGGAGUCGAUUUCAAAGGAGCCUAUGAUUGAGCAUGCCUUCGUACACUUCUAUCAAUUAUCUGCUCACAGCCAGAGCUAAACUAUGUUUAUCAGGGCAAUAAUCCGCCCUUUUUUUUAAUGAUCUUAAGAACAUGGUUAUAAGCUUUAAUUAAAAUUAUAAAAAAUAAAUAAAUAUUAUAAGCACAGUCCCACAAAAUUGUGGCAGCAUAAGAUUUAGUUGGUAUCAUAUUACACGAACGAGCCAUAUUUCAUGCGGAAUAUAUUAAACAAAAAUGAAAAUACAUGACGUGCAACAUAAUAUUUGACGCAUAUCGGGAGCAAUUCUAUGCACAUAUGCAUUUUGACCGUUCAUAUUGGAUGGUCCAAAUAGAACGAUCGGUCUUGGUUGAUAAGGUAUAUAUUUUAUCCAGUUACAUAUAUUAUUAGGAAAUAAAUCCAAUUUCAUUUGUUCCCUAUGUUUUUAAUAAAAUAGGAAUCAUUCACUAGGCUCAGCCUAAAUCUAAUAUUCAUAGUAGGGGUGGCAAUCCAGCUUUGUUGUUCGUAAACUAGCUCGUGUUCGGCUCGAAAUGAGCUCGAGAUCGAAUUGCUCGUUUAGUAAACAAGCCGAACACGAGCUGAAUUUUUCAGCUCGUUUAAUAAAUGAGCCGAACACGAACCGGCGUCAGCUCGCUAGUGUUCGACUCAAUAACAGCUCAAAUACAUAUAUUUUAUAUUUAUAUAAUCUAUUUAAUUUAUAUUUAUAUAUUUAUAUAUAUAAAUAAAUAAUUAUAUAACAUAUAUAUAUAUAUAUAUAUAUAUAUAUAUAUAUAUUAUUUAAUAUUUAGAAAAAAAAAAUAAAGUCGAGCUCAAUUAAAAAAAGAUGCAUUUAUAUAUAAAGUUUCAACCAUUAAAUCAAAAUCUAAUGGAUAAAAUUUUAUAAAUUUAUUGUUUAUAUAUAUUCAAUCUAAUCUAUUUAAUUUAUUGUUCAUUGGUCAGCUUGUGUUCGGCUCAUUUAUUAAUAAACCGAACACAAGCUGACUUUUUUGGCUUGAUACUUUAACAAGGCAACUCGUGUUCAGCUCGUUUAUUAAACGAGCCGAAUGCGAGCCAGCCCAGCUUACUCGUGUUCGGCUCCUUAACACCUCUAAUUCAUAGCUACUUCGAUCUUAGACAUCAUGAAGGUGCAGUCUGAAUAUCAAAAUAAGUUAUUCAAAAAGAAGAAUUUCUAGGAUUAUUAUAAGAAAGAAGUUUAAUUUUUUCUUCUAGAAAAAAAAAAAAUUGAUAUCCAUAGUUAGAUAGCAUAAUAUAUUUUAUUUACGAGAUAGUUUAUCUUAUCCAGAAAAUGAUUUCACAGAUUACAUUAGUAUACAAUUUGAAAAUUUUUAUCACACUGCUCAUCUACUAAUAUUAUGUAUAAAUUUUUCAAAUAAUAUUUAUAAAAUAUAUCAAAUAAAAUAUCCAUAUAUCCAAAUAGAGCCAAAGUUAGGACGGAAUCAAUCCAACUUAGAUUAAAGCAAAACUAAACCAAUUCAUUCAACGAAACCAAUCCGUACCUAACAAAACAUCUUUUAUUAGAGAACUGCCGAAGAGGAUGGACCUGGACCAUUGCUCGUGGGCCUACUACUGUGUAGGAGUAGAACCAUGUCGGUCCACCGAAGAGGAUGGACCUGGACCAUGUCUCGUGGGCCUGCUACUAUGUAGGCGGAGAACCAUGUCGGUCCACGAGAGCACCUAAUCUUUUAAAAUUUUUUUUAAUAGAAUAAAUUUUUUUAAAAAAAAUAUUAUUUAUUUAUGUAGAAUUAAUGACUAGUUAUUGUAAUAGAAUAAAAUUUUUUCAUUAUUGUAAUAUUUUUUUAAAAAAAAGAUUUUUUUUUCAUUAUUGUAAUUAAAAUUUUUUGAUAUGUCUCUGAUUUCUCCAUCUUAUUAUGGUACAAAUUAAGAGAACGCUACAGUACUAUUAUAUACAACCCUUAGUAAGGAUAAGAUAUUGAUGUGGCUAGGUCUAGUUAGGCUAAACGGCAAGCCCUUAUUUCCACCCUAGUGUGCGCGCAUGCAGAAUUGCAUUGCGUAAAGAGACACAUGAUCCAUUUUACAGUACUGAGCAACAAUAGUUCACAAUAAUUAAGGAGCACAUCCGAUUAUAGAUACUCAAACUUACAUACUCACUGGGCACACCGAAACAGAACAGAGACCACAAUGUCGAAGCAAGCUUAGCUAUUGGAUGCAGCAAACGUCGAUCCUUAUUUAUGUAAGUUAAGCAAAUAAGAUAGCAAACUGCAGUGCAUUGCUAAAUCAUUUACUUCCGACUUAUUCGUAGCUUCAAGUUUCAGAAACCAUCUUAAUAACUGCGACAUUAGCCCCUGAUUGUAGAGUGGGAUAGAGAGGAUCCAUGGCGAUUCCACAUAAUCCAGACGAAGACACACCUCUCGCCAUACGGACGUAUCCACGUUCACCCCAUGAGCUACCCCAUGAGUUCUUUACAAUCCAAUAUUGUGUUCCACUGCUAUCCUGCCCGUAACCUAUAAUGGUGAUGGCAUGAUUGAGACUAGUUCCACAAGGUCCACUAAACACACCGCCAUUGUAAUAUUGAAAGUUGUCUCCACUGGCAUCGAUAGCAGCAGCUAUUGGUUGAUUCCACACAGCGUACUUCAUGCUGCUUUCGUCGUUGCUUCGCACAUAUGAAUAACCAGUAAUGUAAGCUGAAUUGGGCCAGCUAUUGGCGGUGCAAUCGCCUUCGUAUGCUUGAUAAGGAUAGUCAGCUUCGGAGGCCACACCGUUGUUAGAUAUGAUGAAAUCGUAGGCAUUGUCCACAAAGCCGCCGUCGCACCCAUUGCUAACAGCACAAUCGAGAACUUCUUGCUCCGAUAGAGAUACUAAGUACCCUGUUACGAUCUUGUAGAUUCCUUCCACCGUCGCAAUUGCACUGAAUGCCCAGCAAGAACCUAUGCCGAAACAAAGAUAUGUGUUAGCAUAACUGCUGCACGCAAAGUUAUAUAUGAGAUUGCCAUGAUAUAAGGAAACAUUCAAACUAACAAAAUUAGCUGUUAUUUGCAAGUACAGAGCUGCUUUUAACUUGUUUUCAAUGGUUGUCAUGCAUAUGGAUGUCCUGUUCUGACUAACACGUACUUUGCUUACUUUGCUAGUAUGAUUAUUGUGAUUAUUAUAGUAACUUAAUUAAUAGUAAGAGACUCAGCAAAUAGACUUAACGUGUAGAUAGAUUGAAUCAAGUCGAAGCUUGUGAAUAUUGUGGUUGAGUCCUUAAAUGCGAUGGAUGUGUCUUUUUUAUCACCACAUACGUGUUUCUGGGAUAGUUGAUUAGCACUUAAAGAUGCAUUCGAUAGCUAAUCUGAUUUUUCAUUAACUAGAUUCAAUACUUCAUUUCUUUGUGCAUUGAUAAUAUGUGAUAAUCCAUGUUUAGACACUUUUAAUCAGCCGAAGUAAUGGAAUUAUUGAGUUUUAGUGGGCGGAAAUUUGGUCCUUUUGUCCAGAAAAGGCAGAAGGCAUUCGGUAGCAAGCAUAUUUGAUCUAAGCAACAUGUUAGCAGCAUCUUAUAAAGUUAACUAAGAAUAGAUAUUUUACUUUUUUCUAGCUAAAGAAAUGAAGUUGCAUUGACAAUUUAUAGUCUAAAUUAUUUCUUACCACAGGGGUUUUGGUCUUUGACCUCUGUUACGGCACCAUAGUCUCUCCAAUCAAUACUUUGACCCACCGCAGAGAUGUUUACGUCAUCAAAUGACACCACUGGCUCUCUCUUGAAAUUUAGUGGGAGAGAUACACCAGUAUAUUGAGUAACAAAUUCGUUAUUUGUCAUAUCGGUAAACUUAUUGAUACCGAGAGUGUAUGAAUUUCCGUUGCGAUUGUUAAAGGUUUCGAUAUGAUUCACGUUGUUCUUGAAUAUCUGAAACCGGCGCAUCUUCUCGUCGUUGUCCUUGUACACUCGGCCGUACUCUGCCAUCCAUUCUUCAAACCGCUUCAUCAUGGGAUCACUGGGUUCGUCACGAGAAGCUGCCGAUGGCGAAGCCCACAUCACACAGAGAAACAAGAAAAGAAACACGAGUUGAACUUUGGAAGCCAUGCUUAUGUAGCACUAAAUAUCUAGUAUAUGUAUGAGGAAAUUGGAGAUCGAGCUACAAGAGCUUUUGGUGCUGAGAGUAUGGUGUCAAGAUCGAGUUUAUAUAGAAGUUCAUGCCUUGGAAUGUAGGUGUGAGAAUUAAUGGGCGGGGCCUACAAGAUGUCACAAAUUGUCAUCAAAUUAACAUUAAAUAGUUCUGGACAGCUUGCGGCACCACGUCGUGUGGUCACUAGUGUAGUGAUUCACUUAUUACGCCGGGCAGAUACUAUUGAAAUAAAAAUUUGUAUAAAAUAAAAUAUCAGUUUAGCAUGAAAAAUAGUAAAUAUAGUUUGUAUUAUAAACAAACACUUCUAAACAAAAUAAAACUAAAAUAAAAAAAAAAUUAAUCAUUCCAAUAAAAUUAUUCAAACUUGUUAAAAAAUAAUCGCAUAUCAUACAAAUGAAUGAUUAAAAUUAUUUUUAUAAUACAAUAAUCAAAUAAAAUAUCAUAUAGCAGUUAAUAUGACUAAAAAAAAACUCACAAUAAUAUGCAAGACAAUAUAUAGAGUGAGGCUACUAUGCUAUCGGAAGCACGGAGCCUUCCGUGCUUCCAGCUCGUUUUUGAUGUUGCAACUUUUGAAUUGUCGAUCGACUCCGUUAAAUUUGAUCUAGAGUAUUUUGAGUACCUAGAAAAUAAAUUUUAUUAUUUUUCGAUAUCAUUUGCCUAGUGAUCGAAUGGGCUCAAAAUCAACAAAUUUCAAUGGCCGUAGUGAGCCGUUUGCAACUUUAACGGUGUAGAAAUAUCCAAAUAAGGUGAAAUUUUGAUAGAAAAUUCUUUAUACUAUAUAAAACAAGAUUAAUAUCUUUGAUUUAAAAUUUUAAUGUCAUAUUAUUACAUUUUGUAAGAUUUUUAUUUUCAGCCGUUGAUUUUGAGCCCCUUCGUUCACUAGGCAAAUGAUAUCGUAAAAUCAUAAAAUUUAUUUUCUAGGUACUNACUACUUGAAAUAUCAAGAAACCAAAUUUUAAAUCUUUUCGAUAUUAUUUAAAAUUUUUUAAUGUAUAAAUUUUUAAAAAUAGACAAUCGGUGUUAUAAUUUUUUAAUGUAUAAAUUUGGUUUAAAAUUUUUUAAAAUAGACAAUAGGCAUUAUUAAUAGACAAUCGGCAUUAUAAUGUAUAAAUUUUUUAAAAUAGACAACCGGCAUUAUAAUUUUUUAAAAUAGACAAUCGGCAUUAUUUAAAAUUUUUUAAUGCAUAAAUUUUAAAUCUUUUUGAUAUUAUUUAAAAUAGACAAUCGGCAUUAUAAUUUUUUAAUGUAUAAAUUUUUUAAACUUUAUAUAAUUAUAUCAAACAAAUUAAGUUUUAAUUUUAAAAUUUUUUAGAGGAUAAUUAGUUACAUAUUUUGUUCAUUUUGAGAUCUUCUUUUAUCCCCGAAUAAAAUCUAAUAAGAGAUGUAGUGCCAACAUGCAUGUGCUGAGCCUUGAAAACUUUUAGAAUGUAUCCGUUAUAUUUAUAAAAUGACAUCUCUAACCAAUUAAAGAAUUUCUUUUAAAUUUAUUCGUUUCAUAAUAAUUAUAAAAAAUAAAUUUUCUUAUAUUUUCAAAAAAAUUAUAAUGAAUUUUUAUUAAUAAUGUGAUGUAAGUAUCAUAUAGUAGGCUUUCUCGGCCAUGCCAGCUAUAACGCGUUUCCGCACAGAUAACUGCAGUUCAUUCUAUAUUAUUAGGAAGCAUUUUGCUCGUCCUUUGAUUGGACAGAUGCAAUCAUGAGGGGGACACCUCCACUCCGUACACAAGAGUCAUUGCAGCUGAUGUGUUGUUUAGUACUGGAAUUAUUACCAGAGCACGUGUUGCACAUACGGAGGAGUAGUGAUAAGAAAACUCUCAUAAAUUAUUAAUACCGUACAGACUCUCUUAAAUUAUUAUAAAUAUUAGGGAUAACUUCAAAAAAACCCCCUGUGGUUUCGCAUUUUCUCACUUUAGUACCCUAUGGUUUAAAGUGUAUCAAUUUGCCCCCCUGUGGUUUUGUUUUUCUCUUUUUUUUUACCAAUUUUGUUGUUUUUUUUUAAUCAGUAACAAAAUUAAAAUUAAAGGGUACUAAAGUAAAUAUUCGAUAAAUCUAGAUGGAUAUCUGAUGUUUUUUUGUAUAUAAUUUAACAAAAUAUUAAGAAAAAAGCUAUAGAAAAGAUAAAAACAAAACCACAGGGGGGCAAAUUGAUACACUUUAAACCACAGGGUACUAAAGUGAGAAAGUUGGAAACCACAGGGGGUUUUUUUGAAGUUUCCCCUAAAUAUUACAGAUAACUUUCAAGCGAUUAGUCUCUAUCCAAAAUAAUGGUGAUAAUUACGCUUCCUGCUUCCGUUUUGAGUUGCGCAUCUCAAAAUACUUAUUUUACCAUGAAUUGAGCUAGAAUAUUUUUAAAAACACCAUACUAUUAUUUUUUUUGGUGCUUCUAAAUUUUUAGUCAGUGUAUCUACUUCCUAAUUAUUAAUAGCAUUUGGAUCAAACACUAUUCCAUCUAUUACUAUCUACCACCACCUACCACCAUCAUCCCAACCUUAUAUUUCUUCAUUCAAAGGUUAAAAACUCAAAAGAGUAAGAUAAAAGAAUCUUCGAAGUAAACCUAAAAAAUAACAAAAAUAAUUAAAUUUUAAAAAUAUAUAUAACAAAAAAAAAAAAGAUAUGCUCGUUUAAACACUCUAUUUUUCUUCUUCUGAAGAAUCAAACAUCUGAUCGAGUUGACAGCUCGUAAGGCAUUAGUAUUAGCCAAUCUAAAAAUAACGGUGUUCCUUACUGUUUAGAUAACUCUCCAACUGACUGUCAGUUCAGUUAUUCUAUUUCACAAAAUUUAUAUGGGCAAUCUGGACCCAUUGGUCCUUGCUCUCCCUAUUGGAAGAGCAGUAAGAUUUUUUUUUGGUGCACCCGGUGCACUAGUUCGUUUUAUAAUUUUAUUUUUUAUUUUUUAAUUAUAAUUUAAUAAUAUAUAUUAUGAUUUUAAAAUAUAUGUAAAAGAAUUUAGAAUUUAGGAUUUAAAAAUUCUUUUGCAUAAAUUUUUUAAAUAUCAUAAAAUAUAUAUCUAUUNAGAGGGACAACUUUUCACUCGGUACGCAAGAGUUAUUGUGGCUGCGCUUGUACCUCAUUUAUUGUUGUUGCAUGAUUGAAAUUAUUUAGAGCAUGUGUUGCACAACAUGAAUAAGAAUAAGAGUUUAUGCGCAUAUAUAUAUAUAUAUAUAUAUAUAUAGAGAAAGAGAGAGAGAGAGAGAGAGAGAGAGAUUCUAUAUUUUUAAAAGUACUAAGUUAUUAGUAUUUAUAGAUUUUUGGCCAUUGGAUUAAGAGAUAUGUAGUUAGGAUGAUGUGGGACCCCUAAGAUUAAGUGGGUGGUUGGUUGAAUAGUAUAAUAUAACGGAUGAAAAUAAUCAAAAUGAUAGAUUUAAUGGUAAAAAAUUUACAAGCACCAAGUGCUUGAUACUUUUACAAGUAUCAUAGCUGAACUCAUAUAUAUAUAUAUAUAUAUAUAUAUAGUAGCGGAGCUUUGGUACUAUAGUCUUGUUUUCGAUCUUACGGUAUUCAAUUUAACGAUCCACACUGUUAAAUAUGAUUUAGGGUAUAUGAAGUUCUUAGAAAUAAAAUUUUAGUUUUUUUCGACAUCGUUUACUUAGUAAAUAAAUUAUGUCAAAAUGGACGAUGAAAAUUGAAUAAUCUUUAAAAUUUGAGCAUAGGACUUUUAAAUUCAAGAUCAAGAUGUUAACCUUAAUCUAGAUAGUUUAAAGUAUUUUCUAUCAAAAUUUAAAGAAAUUUAGAUUCUUCUACACCGUUAAACUCCAAACUUGCUAUAGUAGCCAUUGAAAAUUGACAAUUUUGAAAUGGUUUGAUCAUAAAGCAAACUAUAUNGCUCCUUCCCUCUCCCUCUCUCUCUCUCUCUCUCUAAAGAGGUAGAGAACGGAAAGCGUUUGGGAGUAGUGGGAGUACGAAAGAGAUUCGACGAGAGAAAAUGGUGCGGAAGAGGAAAAUUAGAGCAUCGCUCACGCAAGUGCUCCAACAGUGGGAGAAGAUCGUGUGAUAUAGAGAAAGAGAGAGAGAGAGAGAGAGAGGGAGAGAGAGAAAGAGAAGGGUGGCUCUGUCACACAUGCGCGCUUACCAAAGCUAAGUUUUUUUUUUUUUUAGAAAAAUAUAGCAACGUUAUUCGUUUUGAAAUUUUAAUUUAGCAACAUCAUUAAAGAUUAAAAAAAUAUUUUUUACACGAGAAAAUAGUCACCCAAGCUAAGUAUUGAGAUGUACUCUCUGUUAUAUACCUAAUGCCUCUCUCUCUCUCUCUCUCUCUCUAUAUAUAUAUAUAUAUAUAUAUAUUAUUGUUUAGAAUAUUAGCUGUGUAUAUAGUUGUCCAGAUUUCACACUUUGAUCUAUAAUGUGAUUUGAAUACUCAUAAAAGGUUAUCCAUAGCCUUCGAUCAUCCACUUUUAACAUGCACAAGACAGACUGUACGUAAAAUUUACUUUUGUUUAAAUAAAUGAAAGAUGGAAUGGUUAAUUUGAUUUGAAAUUUUGUUUUUCUCCCCUUCAACUCAUUACGUUCUAUAUAUUUGUAGUGGCGUUGAACCACAACAAACAUGUGAGUAAUUUAGAUACAACUUAAAUUUAGUUUUUAAAUUUGUAAAUUUGGUAUAUAUUUAAGACCGGACUCUUUGAAUUAUAUCAUUAUAAUAUCAGAGAGAAAGAGAAAAGCUAAAUUUGUAGAAAACCUCCUUUCAUAUGUUGGAUUUUAUACUUUAUUUUCUUCAAAUUUUCAGGCCAAAUCAUUCUGUACCAACUAAGAUUUUAUAUUAGAACCACUCACCCAAUCAUAAAAUAAGAAGCGAAAACAGCUCUAAUAUCGUGUUAAAGAACUAGAAUCUAAUCUAAAAACUCAAACUGAGUGGUAAAAAUAACCUUCACAUUAGGUAUACUAUUUUAUUUUUAUCUAAAAAGAAUCCAAACACAAGUACUCUAAUAAUAUAAUUUUGUAUUUUGUAUUUCAAUUAUAUGUACCUUCCAUAAAUAUUGACCCUCACAUUACCCCAUAAAUAUUCAAAACAAAUAAAUCUACAAAAAUAUUAUUUUUGAGACAUUUUCGUAUCAUAAUGUUUUUUUUUGAUAGAUAGGUAGCACGAUACCCGUUUUGUUUAUUUCAUUUAGAAAUAACUUAGCAAAAAAUAUGAAUCAACUAAGAUUCGAACUUGGUUCUCUGGUACUAAUCACCAAGCUUUUUGCCACUUGCUCUAGAAACGGUCGGUUUUCGUAUCAUAAUGUUGCACUGGUGAAGUUACCCGCACAUUGCGGCGGGCUGAUACUAUAAGAGACAUAAGAUUGACAAACUAAAAUAUUUUAAAAUAUUUUCACUUGUCAUGAGAAAUCAAUAAAUAUAAAUAAAAGAUAUGAAACGGAUAUAGCAAAAUUUAUAAUUUCAGCAAAUAAAUUACACGCAAUAAUAAAUAAAAAACAGCAAUAGAACACUACUCCAUAUGCACCUUAAUUGUGUUGCUGAUAUCGGAAAGGCGAAUCUUGAUCUCCACUUCUCAUUUACCGCCAUUGUCAGCGACGAGUUCCUCUUUAAUCACGGCAAUACAUAUCUUAUUUUAUUUAUUUUUUUAUAAUAUUUAUUUGUUUAAAUGACAAUGAAUGUGAACAUAUUAAUUAAGAAAUGGACACGUGGGAGGACGAAACAUCACGCGGAUAUAAAAGAUAAUAAAUUCGAUUAUUAGAAAUUAAAAAGAAGGCAAGGAUGAGAGAAGAAGAUAAGGUUGAAGGAGACUUUGUCAUGUGGCAAAUUUUAUGAGGAAUAAUGUAUAGAUAGAUAGAUAGAUACAGAGGUAUAGAUAGAGAUAGAUAUAGAUGUGCAGGUGCAUGACCAUCCCAAUUAUUUUGCAACCAACGUACGUAUUUAAUCCGGUGACAACUCAAAUUUAAUUAUUGGAGCAAGAAAGUGUAUGAAAGCCCCUAAACUAUAGGCGACGUUGAAGUAGCUCCUUCAAUCUGGUUUAAUUCUCCCUCGUUGCCAUAUUUUAUAUUAGCUUAUGGUAUUGAGUCAAUGCUUUGAGGUGUCGCUAAUAUGUUUGUAUUAUCUCUUAAAUACGUAAUUAAUGCAAGAGAUAAACUACACCCUACUCAAGUUUUUUUUUUCCCUUCUAAUUAGCUGUCGAAGAUUAACUAAAUAUGGACAGUUGAAAGAAACAUUUCUCUACUUUUCUAUUUUUUCUAAAUCUCUUACAUUUUCUCUUAGAUGUACGCAUGGUACGAUAGUCUUUAUAGUUCUAGUUCUAUCACUAUAACAAAGUAUAUUUUAGAUAAUAUUUUUUGGACGACGCUCUAUUAUAACAUCUUCAAUAUUUGGUAUAUAUCAACAGUAUGAUUAAACUUUGUCAAUAAAUAUAUUUUUAUUAAAAUACUAAUAAAUUUUUCGACACUAAAAGUGCAGAAGAUAAGAUUUAUGCCCCUUGUUCACCCUUAUCUUGACCACAUGUUGCGGUCUAGGUUCUGGGGUGAAGAAGAUCUGCAUUAUUGGGCUUUUUGUCUUUACUAUUUUCUUGACCAUUUGGGCAAUAGAAUUAAGCUCCUAUAUUUUUAAAAGUGUAAGCUAUUGAUGUUUAUAAAUUUUCGACUUUUGCAUUAAGAGAAGUGCGGUUAGAAUGAAAAUGAUUUUUUAGGAUUGAAUGAAUGGUUAGUUGAAUAGUGUGAUCUAACGGAUGAAAAUAGUUAAAGGAAUAGAUCUAACGGUGGAAAACUUAAUUAUAAGCACAAAGUACUCUUGAGCAAUAUUAGUUUUUAUAAAUUGAUGAAAAUUGUUAUGCAUUUAAUCCUAUAUAAUUAAGUAGUGGGGGUAACUUCAAAUAUUUACCUCAAAAAGUAUAGAAUACAAUAAAUGUCUUUAGAAAAUUGCCAAUAUCAUUUUCCCCGCUAUAAAUUUAUGAAUUAUAGUAUAACAUAUUCAUUCUCAGCUUAAUUAAGAUUAUUUGAUGAAUUUUCCCCUAAUACGUAAUGACAAAUAAUAUUUUGGUAUUCAUAUGGGACCGCUGAAGUAGUUUCUCUUUAAAAAAUUGAAGCUAUAAGUAGUUUUUCCAGUUUAGUUUGCUCAGUUUAUAUUUAUUAUUUAGUUUAUGAAUUCCGUUUUUGUCUACUUCAAUAUCAUUUGAUUAUCAUAUUAUUCAUAAAUGAAAAUGGUGAAUAAAAAAGUGAAAUUGUAUCGUACAAUUUGUGAAUAUAUAUUUUUAGUUUACUUUGUUUAAAUUAGUAAGAUUGUUUUAUUUAAUAUUUGUAUAAUUUAAUUUCUUUCAAUUAACUAGAUUUUGUUCGCUAUGCAUUUACUGCAUUUAUGAAAUUUGAAAGGUAAAAAUAUAUAGUUUAAUAAAAAAGUAUUGAUGAUUGGCAAUGGGCAACGUAGAAAUGUUGAAAGAGUUGUCACUGAUCUUAAUAUUUUGAAUAAUCUUUUUUUUAAAUUAGCUAAAUAUUUUUGGCAUUAUUAUUUUAGAAGAGCGAUCUAUGUAUAUAAUGUGACUAAGGAUUAGAAGAGGGUACGUAGAUAUGAUGUUAUUCCUAGGAAAUACACUAAUUACCUUAACUCUUUGAAUGGUUUAUAACGCGGAAACAUUUUGAUAUAUAAUAUAAAGGGUGUAAACUCGAUCAUUAAUUACUCUCGUACAUUCUAGUUUUGUAUACUACUCCAGCUCCAAGGAGAACACAUGCAACGUUCGUUUCUAAUAAAACUAUAAUAAUAAAAAAUAUAAGAAAGAUAAAAAAAAAAUUAUAGGAAUAAUAAAUUAUAUUUAUAGCACCAUUAAAAGUUGAAAAUAAAAAAAAAUCAUGCCUCAUAGUUCGACACAAAAAUUACAACUAGUUAUGAUUUGAGGACUAAGACAUCACGUGCUUUAUAGUUUGAGUAAGAAAAUAUAAAUUAUUAAAAUUCGAUAACUAAAGUAUCAUGUAUCUUAUAGUGUGAGGACCAAAAGUGUAAUUUAUCGUUUUAUAUUUUAAUUUUAUUCCUGAAGAACACAGAGUUGAGCAUCGAUGAGUUUAAUUUAAUUAGUAAUUUCAUCUGAGAAAAGACUAUGUUAAACUAUCUAAUAAUUUUAGAAUGUCUAAUUGUUAAAAUUAAAAGUCAACCAAUUAUAUUUUGGAUAUUUUAAAAGAUUUUAAAUGUAAAAUUAAUCGCUUAUUAGACUAUAAAUAUGUGAUAUUAAAAUCAAAAUAAAAAACAUAUAGAAUUUUUCUAAACUUUGAAUCAUUUUAAACCAGAUAUCCAAUCUUUCAAAAUUUUAUUUUUACUAUCCAACUUUUUUAUGUAAUAAAUUUGAGUCGGUAAAUAAUAUUUUGACUUCAUGUAAUUUUCCUAUCUAAAUUUAUUAAAAUAACUAAGUAAUUUAGACUCUAUUAAUCUCUCUUUUAUUUUUAUUGUAUAAUUUAUAUCUAAGUGAUCAAUAUUAUGAAAUUAAAAUUUAUAUUUAGUAUAUAUAAUUUAAACUAUUUAAAAAUUAUAUGUAAAUAAUUAAAUAUUUUAAAUUUUUAUAAUAAAAUAGAGAUAAAUUAGAUUAUCUUAAAAAAAAAAAAAAAAAAAAAGCCUCCAAGUUCAAAUUAGUAAACUGAAAAAAAAAAAAAUAAAAUAAAAUAAACUGAGCCGGCCCACCCCACGUUUACCCUGUAACAAAACAGAGUAUAAUCCAUAACAAAACAGAGUAUAAUCCAUACAUGAACCUACCCCUCAAUUUGGAGAAAAGUAGGGCCAAUUUUUUUUCCUCAUUUUUUUUUUCAUUUGAUUAUUGUGUUAUAGAAAUAAUUUUAAUCAUACAUUUGCAUGAUAUGUGACCUGUCUUGAACAAUAAUCAAUAGUUUGGUUGAAACGGUUAAAUUUUUUUUUAUUAUAGUUUUAUUUUUUAGAAAUGUUUGUCUAUAAUGUAGACCAUAUUUACUAUUCUUUGUACUAAACUGAUAUUUUGUUCUUUUCCAAAUUUUUCACUUUAAUGGUAUCUACCCAUUGUAAUGCGCGGAUCGCUACACUAUAUACAAGAACAUGCUUCGGCGUUUUUCAAUGAAAUAGCAGAUUGUGGAAUACGAAAACGUAAUAUUACACACGAAAAUAAAUAAAAUAUCUUUUAAUUUUUCAUCAUAGGUGACACAAUCAUUCAGUAAUUUCAAAGAAAGCGUAAUUGGAUUAGCAUUUAGUGAGUCAGAUUUCGAUUUCUUACAUCAUAUAGUGUGUGGGCAUGUACACAAUUGCACCGCACAGAGAUAUAGAUGGACAAUUCUAAUAACUGCAACACGUACUCUAGCUUUACGUACCGUUGCUUGAUGAUCUUAUUCCUCAAAACAGCAUAAACUUACAAAAUACAAACAGUUGGCUACUAUAUAUUAAGCAGCCAGCGGAACUGACAAUAACACAAAACCAAAACAACAAAUGAAAACAACAAGCCCUACUCGAUCAUACAGAUAAUCCUCGCACGAGCAUCGCCCGUUUUAUUACAUAGCUUAUAAGGUACGUAGCACGAAGGGCACUUCACUGCAUGCAAAAUCGCAGCUUCGAUAACCCUUACAUGGAGCUUACACGAUCAUCCGAACCCAUGUCGGAGGGUUCUGUAGUGCGCUGCGACGAAACCAGAGUCGGGUAAAUACCGUAGCUAGCCAGACCACAUAAUCCAGGAUAUGCCGUGUCUCUUAACAUCCUCACGUAUCCAUUUUCUCCCCACGUGUUGCCCCAUGAAUUUUUUAUUAUCCAAUACUUGUCUCCGGUGCUGCUGUCCUGCCCGUAACCUACGACGGUGACGGCGUGGAAAAUAUUCGUCCCACAAGGUCCUUUAAAGAUACCGCCAUUGUAGUGAUUGAAGUAAUAAGAGCUAGCAUCAAUAGCAAUAACUGUCGGCUGGUUCGCCACAGCAUACAUGAUCGCACGUUCAUUGUAGCUAGGUUGUACCUGUUGAUAGCCGGUAAUAUAAGCUGCGUUCGGUUUGCUAUUUGCAGCGCAAGUGCCUUUAUAUCCUACAUAGGGAUAGUUCGCCUGCGCGGUCACGCCCUUGUUAGCGAUGAUGAAUUCGUAGGCUUUGUGCACCCAACCAGAUGUGCACCCGUUGCUAACAGUACAAUCUAAAACUUCUUGCUCCGAUAGAGAUAUUAGUUGUCCUGUUUUGAUCUUGUAGAUGCCUUCUACCGUCGCGAUUGAAGAGAAUGCCCAGCAAGAACCUAAUUUCAAAACAUAUAUUCAAGUAAUUAGCACAACUGGUACAAGCAAAAGUUUCGUAGAUUAUUAAUUAAGAUGUAAGAAGAACAUUCAAACAAGUAUGGACAAGGUGGAAAUAUUGAUUACUGUAUUACUUUAUUAUCUAUGUUGUUUACUUGUGUGAAAAUGAUUAAUGUCGUCAUACUUCUUGUCAGAAAUUAAUUUUUCUAGAAACUUAAACUAUCGAAGAAUGAUUUCUAAUUAUUAAGAAUUAAUACACCUUACGUGUAAUCUACAAAUUUAUAGAUAGUAGAUGAUAACGUGUGUUCGUACACUUUUAGUUCGUCUGAGACAUGAACCUUGCAUUUAAAUGCGGUAGAGGUUUGAUUUCUUUGUCAACAUAAAUGGCUGAUGGAACAGUGAGAUUUGGGCCCAAGGCAUCCUAUUCUCAUCAGGUUAAUUAAAAAAUAAAAUUUGUAAAGGUUCAGGAUGCUAUAGCUAGAAAUUAAUGUGCUUUAGUUCUCUAAACUCAACACUUGAUUCUUACCGCAAGAGCCUUGAUUCUUGACUGGUGUGACGGCACCGUAAUCCCUCCAAUCAAUGCUUUGAGGUAUCGCGGACAUGUUUACAUCCUCAAACGACACCGAUGGCUCUAAAUUUGUCAUAUUUAGAGGAAGAGAUAGACCGACAUGCUGAGCCACAAUUUCAUUAUUUGUCAUGUCAGCGAAUUGGUUAAUGCCCAGAGUAUACGAGUUUCCGCCACGCCUGUUAAAGGCUUCGAUGCGGUUUACAUUGUCUUUAAAGAUCUCAAAACGGCGCAUCUUCUCAGCAUCGUCACUGUAAACUCGGCCGAAAUCAGCCAUCCAUUCUUCAAACCUCUUCAUCAUCGAAUCAUCUGCUUCGCCGCGAGAAGCCAACGACGAAGCCCACAUCACAGAAAGAAACAAAAAAAGAAACAAUAUUUGGAAUUUGGAAGCCAUAGCUCUGACUUACAAAUGCUUUUGUUGCUGAGAGUUAGGCUCUCCGCAUCGAGUUUAUAUAGAAGUUCUCGGCCCAUGCACUAAAGUUGCUGGACCAUUAAAUNUCGAAUCAUCUGCUUCGCCGCGAGAAGCCAACGACGAAGCCCACAUCACAGAAAGAAACAAAAAAAGAAACAAUAUUUGGAAUUUGGAAGCCAUAACUCUGACUUACAAAUGCUUUCGUUGCUGAGAGUAAGGCUCUCCGCAUCGAGUUUAUAUAGAAGUUCUCGGCCUAUGUACUAAAGUUGCUGGACCAUUAAAUUUUAAUUUUUUAAAAACUUUUUUUAGAGGAAAAGAUACAACGUGCAUGUGAUGAAAUCAUUAAUUAAUUUCUCUCUUAUCCAUUGUUCGAUAGGAAAGUCGCAAUCAAGAGAGGUACAACUUUUCACUCCGUACGCGAGAGUUAUAGUGGCUGAGCUUGCCCCUCCAUGUGUGUUGACGUACGUCGUUGCAUGAUUGAUAAUACAGCAUGCGUUGCACAACAGGAAUUAAAAAUACAGCAUGUGCAUGCGCAACAGGAAUUAAAAAAUACAGCAUGUGUCGCACUAUAGGAAUAAGAAUAAGAGCCGCACAUAAUUUUAAAAUGAUAUAUGUACAUUAACAAAUAUUAUUAUUGUUUACAAUAGCUCUUUUUCUUUUUUUUUUCUUUUUUUUUUGAGAGGAAUCUCAUCAAAAAUAGAGAAUUGUCUAGAUAUCUAUCGUUUCCUGAUGUGUCGAUAUGUUGAAGGUGUUUUGGAUUAUAGUGGCGUUGGACCACAACAUACAUGUGAGUAGUUUAGAUAUCAUGUUAUUUUCUGUAGAUAUUUAAGAUUUCGAUAAAUUGAACUACAUGUCUCUAUUUUUUAAAAAAUUUGAUAUAUAUUUAAGACAUGACUCUUUCAAUUAUAUCAUGCUAGUUCUUAUUCUGAAUAAAAAAAAGGGCUAAAUUUUUUCUGAGUAGAUUUUUCUUUUUUCUUUUUCUUUUCUCUCUCUCUCUCUCUCUCUUUUGAGACCUAGUAGUCUUAUAUUUUGUAGCUAAGUUUAUUUUCGAAAUGAAUGAAGCAGAUAGCUUGCUAUCUUUUUCUCAAAAAAAAAAAAAAAAAAAGCUUAAAUUGAAUCAGUCAAACCUAUCCCCUGCUGUGUAUCAGUUACAACCUCAAUUUUAAAUAUGUUGAAAGGCAAAUUGCACUAAUAAUCUCAACAAACUUCUAUUUUUAGUCCUCAAUUUUAAGUUUUCAAUAUUUGGGACUCGUGACUAUCCAUUCUAGUGCUUAGUUAAAAAAAGUAAAAAAUACAAAAAAUUACGAGCAAAUUAAGCUAAAUUGUAGAAAAGCUCCUUACAUAUGUUGGAUUUUACACUUUUUCUUCAAUAUUUAAACUAUCAGCCAAAUCAUUAUAUACUUUACAACCACUCGCACCAAUAUAAAUUAAGAAGCGAAAAAAGUUCUAAUAUCGUGUUAAAGAACUGAAUCUAAUCAAAACAAAGUCACGGUAAAGAUAACUCUCACAUUAGAUGUACUAUUUAAUAUUAUCUAAUAAUAUAACCAAACAAGUACUCUAUAGAUGAGCGUACAUGCUAUCAGAAGCAGUCGAUGAGCUUCCCGUGCCUUCCAAGUCGUUUUGACUGUUGCGACUUGCGAAUCGUCGAUCGACUCCGUUAAACUUGAUCUAGAGUAUUUGAAGUACCUAGAAAAUAAAUUUUAUGAUUUUACGAUAUCAUUUGCCUAGUGAACGAAGGAGCUCAAAAUCAACGGCUGAAAAUAAAAAUCUUACAAAAUAUAAUAAUAUGACAUUAAAAUUUUAAAUCAAAGAUAUUUAUCUUGUUUUAUAUAGUAUAAAGAAUUUUCUAUCAAAAUUUCACGUGAUUUGGAUAUUUCUACACCGUUAAACUUGCAAACGGCUCACUACGGCCAUUGAAAUUUGUUGAUUUUGAGCCCAUUCGAUCACUAGGCAAAUAAUAUCGAAAAAUAAUAAAAUUUAUUUUCUAGGUACUCCAAAUACUCUAGAUCAAGUUUAACGGAGCCGAUCGACGAUUCGAAAGUCGCAAUAUCGAAAACGAGUUGGAAGCACGGAAGGCUCCGUGCUUCCGAUAUCAUAGUAGCCUCACUCCUCUAAUAAUAUAAUUUUGUAUUUUGUAUUUCAAUUAUAUAUACUUUCCAUAUUGACCCUCACAUUACCCCAUAAAUAUUCAAAACAAAUAAAUCUACAAAAAUAUUUUUUUUUGAGAUAUUUUUGUAUCAUAAUGUUGCAUGUGCAUGUGCAUGUGCAUGACUUUUCAAAUUGCCUGGGACAAAAAUAUUAUAUGUUUGGGGACUUUGCGGAUCGGCGCCACGUGGUCGAUUCAAUGGUCACGGAUCUCAGUUGCUUUUUCUCUCUCUCUAAAAACACAGAAUUUUUUUUUUGUCUUUCCAUCCGUGGCCAUCGGAUCGGCCACGUGGCACCAAUUUGCAUAGUCCCAAACACAUGCCCAUAAAAUUUUUGUACAAUUGUCUGGGGGCCAUCCCAAUAAUUUUGCAGCCAACGCAUUCAAUGCGGUGACAACUUAAAUUUAAUUAUUGGAGCAAGAAAAUGUGAAACCCUUAAACUUUAAGCGACUUUGAAAUAGCUCCUCAAUAUGGUUUUUCCCUCAUUGCCAUGUUUUAUAUUAGUUUAGGGUGUGUUUAGUUCUACCUAAAAUUGUUCCAAUUUUUUUUUUUCGGUUGAAAAGUAAAAUCUCAAAACAGAACCAGAAACCAUAAUGUCGAAGCAAACAACAGAACCAGAAACCAUAAUGUCGAAGCAAGCUUAGCAAUUGGAUGCAGCAAACAUCCAUAUUUAUGCAAGUUAAGCAAACAAGAUAGCAAACUGCAGUGUUGCUAAAUCAUUUGCUUCCCACUUAUUAAGAUGAGCACAAUGUCGAAAAAAUAUUAUUAUUAUACUUUCAAAAAUACAAUUAAUUUAUUAUUGAUAAUGUGGUAUAAAUAUGAUACGGUAAAUUUUCUCAUCGUCAUUUGUUUGGACCGAUACGAUGUAAUCGGGAGGGGUACAACUUUCACUCUUACGCAAGAGUUAUUGCUGUUGAUGUGUUGUUUAUUGGGACAAAAGUUUUAUAGGCAUAGUGCUCAAACUAAUUAAUUUGGAGAUUAUGCGGACUGAUGCCACGUGGCCGAUCCGACGGCUACGGAUGGAAAAAAAAAAAAAAAAAAAUUCGUGAUUUUAGAGAGAGAAAAAAAAGCACGGAGAAUCCGUGCCCGUCAGACUGCCACAGGGCGGCCGUAUCCGCAUAGUGCCCAACCAAACUAAUUAAUUGAGCACUACAGCCCAUAAAAUUUUUGUCCGUUUAUGGAAUUAUUUUUUCAGGAGAAGAAUGACGCUAAUCUGCUACCAUAAUAAAGAGGGUGAAUUAAUAGCUACAAGGAUGAGGACAGCAACGUGUCACAGAAAGAGAGACAGAAAAAAAAACAACGAAAAAAAACAUAGGAAGGUAGUUUCGAUUACAAGACCCAAAGAAUGUUCCAAGAGUUUUAUUGGAAUGAUACGCGAAUCAUGUUUGCACAACGGGAGGAGGAGCAAAUAAGAGAGCAAGCAUAAAAAUUACAACGCGAUUCACGCUCUCUUAAAAUAUUAUAAAUAUUUACAAAAUACCUUUUAAGCGAAAAUAGUCCCAUCAAAACAUAUGUUGAGAGUUACAAAUAAGGACGUGUUUUGGUUCGCUUUUUUUUCGCGCCUGGAAUCAAACUUCGAAAUCGGAAUGGGUAAAUCACAUUUGUGGGUGUUGGUACGGCGGAGUGCCAUCCAAUUCCCGAUGCCCGAGUGGACAUGGAAUCCCCCAAUCACUCUCUUUUCAUUCCGCGGCUUAGGAGGCCGAAUUGAAAUUGAAUCCGACGGAAUGAUAUUUAAUUCGGAUUAAAUUUAUUUUUAAUUGUUUUUAAUUAAACAUAGAGUUAAAAUCAAAAUUAAAAAUAUAGUAAUUUUUAAAUUUAAUUUAAAACCUAAAUUAAAAUUAAAAUGUAAAUCAAAGUAUUUCGAAUACUAAACUUAAUGAAUUGAAUUUAAAAAUUAAAUUUUAAAAUUUAUAUAAAGUUUUAUUCAAAUUUAUUGCAACCCUAAAUUAAAUUUAUGAUUCAAAUUAAAAAUUUAAAUUUGUAAAUUUUAAGUUGAAUUUGAAUAAAUCUAAAUUUAUUUCAUAUUUUUAAUUCAUCACACUCACUUAAAGUUUAUUUUUUUAAAAAAAAUAGAUUUUAAAUUUGACAUUAUUCAAAUUUUGAUAUAAAUUUUAAUAUUUAAUUUUAAUUUGAAUUUAAAUUAUAUAUGAAAAGAUAAUGUUAGUAUAGUUAAUUGAUUACUUUUUAUAUCCACCUGAACCAAACACUGAAUAAGGAAUGAUUUAUGCGAUUCCGAUUCAAGGUAUUAAACCAAAUCAGGGAAUAGUAAGAGCAAUUAACAAUUCCGAUUCCAGCUUUUGGAUUCCGAUUACGCGAUUGCCGACUCCGAUUUUCGAACGACAAACACUGCCCUAUUACCAUUGACUUUUACCAUUGACUAUUAUAUAUCUAUUAAUAGUCGGCUUAAAUUUUUAUAGUGAUAUCAAUAAAAAGGGGGGCGACGAUAUUGCCCAGGCCAUUCAUUGAAGAGGACAUGACCCUACAUAUUUUUGAAAUGCCCUCUAAAUAUUUUAUGCAAUACAUUUAUAUCAUCAUGCAUCACAAUGAAUAAUUAAAAAUAAAAAUAAAAAUAAAAAUUAGAAUUAAAACUAAAAUUAAACUUUUAAUGUAAAUAAAAGUGCAAUCAAAUUUAAAUCUAAAUUUAAAUUGAAAUAAAUAAAACUAAUUCAACAUCUAAUUUGACAAGUAACAUUAGUGAAUUCUUAAUUGGAUUCAAUUGAAUUUUCAAAUUCGAAUUACAUUUGAGUGCAGCUAAGAUCAAAGUUUAAAUGAAAAUUGACCAAAUAAUGUAAGCUGAAAUGCAGCUAUUGCGUUACAAGUGCCUGGUAAUGCUUGAUAAGGAUAGUAAAGCGCGCUUCGACAGGUCACCCGUUGUUAGAUAUUAUGAAACGUAGCCUUGUCCACCCAACCGCCUGCACCCAUAGUCCGUAGUUUAAUAAUACAACAGCACAAUCGAGAACUUCUUUCUCCGAAAGAGAUACUAAUCCCUGCUUUGACUUGUAGAUCUCUUUCACUGUCGCAUAUUGCACUGAAGCCUGCAAAACCUAUGCAGAACAAAGUUUUACGUAGCAUAACUAACUAGAGACAAAGUUAUAUAAUGAUAUACGCAUGAACUAAGGAAACAUUCAAACUAACAUAAUUAACGUUAUUUGCAAGUACAGAGCGCUUUUAACUUGUUUAAGAUUUUGAGUGUUAUAAAAUUGUCACCUAAAAGAUAUUGGCGGUUUGAACUCUCAUACACGACAUGUUUCAAAAUUUAGAAAAUUAACUAGUAGAGGAAAAAGUACAGACUAGAGGAUCACAUUUCGGAAAUUCUGAAGAUGAUUUUUCGGCCAAUCCAGAUUCGCAGCACACAUUAGAACAAAAUAAUGAUUUGAACACUCUAACAAGAUAUAGCAGUGUUGCGCACUUUAAUAUGCACAAACAUAACUAUACGAAGUAUGUUGUAUACAUUAAAUUUACUAUGUCCAAAUAAUAGGUUAAAGAUGGAAUACGAAUGAGAUUGAUUUCUUUUUUUUCCGCUACAACUCAGUUAGGUUUUGUUCUUUUACAGUGGCGUCCGACCGCAAACAUACAUCAUACCGAUUAUAUACUCAGAUCCAAUUUUAUUCGAACCAGAUAAUAUAGAAUUUGUAAUGCACUAUAGUCCUAAAACCUUAAUUAGUUAGGCUAAAUAAGAAAAAUCCUCUUGUUAACCAUCUGUUUUCACUUCCUCCAUGCUGCAUUUAAAAAUCUAUAACCUUGCGCCCCCCUAAAAAUAAAAAAUAUUCAUAUUCGGUUCCUGCCGUCAGUUUCUAGUUGAGGUUCCAUUUCAUAUCUUAUUUUUGUAAUUCAAAAUAUUUCUGAAUUCUCAUCUACUAUCCACACACCAUGACCGCCUCGCUCUGCCCACUCCCCUUCAUAGCGUAGAUGCAUCCACGCCUGCUCUCUGCCGCCUGGAAUGACAAGAUUGGGGAACAGAAAUAAAGAAAAGUAGGAACAUUUGUUCAUCUUUAUCACACCAAUAUCAUUCUAUAAAUACGUUUUUAUUUUUCGAUAAAAAAAGCAAAGUAUCAUGAUUUUUUUUUAAAAAAAACAAGAAAAACGGCUUUGCUAAAGGUUUCAUAUAAUAGCCAUUUAAUUAAUGCGAGCAACAUUCGCAAACUGAAAAAUGCUAGAAUGCACGGUUAUAAUUAGUGACCGUACGCGGCAUAACAAACCAAUUACAUUAAUCCUUUUAAAAAUAUAUGUCCGCAUCAUGAAUGUAAAGAGUAUUUAUUGUACUUUAUUUUGAAAAGAUGAUAUGAUUGGCUUUUAUGAGACGUGGUGCAAAUGUGACAGUGAGAUUCCUCUUCCAAACAUAAGGCACGCCCUCAGCUCAAACAUUCCAAACUAGGUCCAAACGUUCUUCUUUUUUUAAAAAAAAGUUGAGUUUUGUUUUUAUUUUUUUGAUAAUUAGAUUAAAAUAUUAUAAGAUUUUUAUCAGAUUUUCCUGUGAUCCAUCAAAUUUAAACAGUUGACCAUUCUGCAUUGAACUUAAUAAUUACUAAAAUUCAAGAUAUAUUUAUCAAAUAUAUCAAAUAAAAAUUCAUAUAUUUACAUAGGCGAAGGUACGUAGGACGUAAUGCAUCCCAAAUGGAUUAACCAAGUUCAUCGCAUCGAAACCAAAACGCAUACUUAACAAAAAACGCGUCUUUUAUUUAGUAACUGCCAAAGAUGAAGAACCAUUUCGGUCAGAGAACACCUAAUAUUUUUAAGUAAGAUUCAAAAAACCUCCAUGUGAAUUCGUAGUUUCUCACUGUUGCCUCCCUGUGUUUAAAAUGUAUCAAUUGCUCCCCCGUGUUCUUUUUCUCUUUUUUAUCAUUGCAUUUAUUUUUUAUCUUAAUCAGUCUAAAGUUAAAAUAAAAGUAUAAAAUAAAUAUUUGAUAACUCUAGAUGGAUAUCUGAAGUUUUGUAUAUAAUUUGAUGAAAUAUUAAGAAAAACUACCAAAAAAUAAAAAUGAAACCACAGGGGGCAAUAUUGAUACAUUUUACACCACAGGGAGGUAAGUGAAAAACUACGAAACCAUAGAAGGGAGUUUUUGAAGUUUUUCUUUUAAAAAAAAAAAAUUAUUUAAAUAGACUAAUUUUUUUAAAAAAAUAUUAUUUAUUUAUGUAAUUCAAUGACUAUAAUUGUAAUAGAAUAAAUUUUCUCAUUUAUUGAAUAUUUUUUUAAAAAAAAUUUUUUUUUAUUGUAAAUUUUUGAUCCGUCUGCUGAUCUCCAUCUAUUAUGGUCAGAAUUGAGAGAAAGCUAGAUACACAAGCCAUUGCAUAAGUUACAGAUAUGGUGUGGCUCAGUCGAGUAGGUUAACGGCAAACCCUUAUUUCCACCCAUAGUUGGCCGCACAUACACAAGUUGCAUUGCAUAAAGAGACCAUGUGAUCCAUUUAUAGUACUAACCAAGGCACACUAGUCCACAUAAAUGAAGGACACAUCAUUAUAGAUUUCAAACUUAACAUACUGAUAGAGACACACCGGAAACAAAACAGAAACCCACAAUGUCGAAACAAGCUAGCACUUGAUGCACGCAAAAUCCUUAUUUAUGUAAGAAACGCAAAUAAGUAGGCAAACUAGCAGGUCGAAAAAAUCAUUUGCUGUUCCGACUUAUUACGUAGCUUCAAUUUCAGAAACCCAUCUUAAUAACUUCGGCAUUAGCCCUGAUUGGAAGUAGGAAUAGAGGAGACAUGCGAUUCCACAUACUCCAGAAGACGAUACACAACUCUGCCCAUAACGACGUAUCCACUUCUCCCCCCAUGACUGCCCCCACGAGUCCUUACUAUCUAAUAUUUUUAGUUCCACGGCUAUCAUGCCCGUACCUAUAAUGGUAAUGGCAUGAUUAGAGACUAGUUCACACAGGUCCGGCGCUAAACACAACCCCAUUGUAAAUUGAAAGUUUCACUGGCAUCGAUAAGAGCACUAUGUUGAUUCGACACAGCGCGUACAUAUGCUGCGUCAAUCGUUCCUUCGCACAUAUGAAUAACCAGUAAUGUAAGCUGAAUUAGAACAGCUAUUGGCGUUUGGCAAGUGCCAUUGAGCUAUGCUUGAUAAGGAUAGUUUUUCGUGGUCACACCGUUGUUUAUGAUAUGAUGAAAUCGAGGCCUUGUUCACGAAACCUAGCCGCCUUUGCAACCGCUACUACAGCACAUCGAGGAACUUCUUGCUUCCGAUAAAGAUACUAAGUUACCCCUGUUUUAUCUGUAGAUUCCCUCACCGUCGCAAUUGCACGAAUGACCAGCAAGAACCUAUGCCAAACAAAAGAUACGCGUUAGCAUAACGACGAAGCAAAGUUAUAUCUGAGAUGCAAUGAUAUAACGAAUAUCCUCACAACUCAACAAUAAUAUAAAUGUUUUUGGCAAUACAGACUGCUUUUAACUUUAUUUCAAACGGUUUGUCAAGGCAUAUGGAGUCCUGUUCUUUUUGACUACAACGACUUUGGCUUACUUUAUAUAACUGAUUAUGGCAUAACUCAAUUAAUAGUAAGAGAACUCAGCAAAUAGAGCUAAUUGCAAAUAGAUUGAAUCAAGUCGAAGCCUGUGAACAUUGUCCUUGAAUCCUUAAAUGCGAUGGAUGUGUCCUUUUUAUCACCAUGUAUGUAUUUUUGGAUAGUUAAUUAACACUUAUAUAUACAUUUGAUGGCUAAGUUGAUUUUUUAUUAACUAGAUUCAAUACUUCAUUUCUUUGUACAUUGAUAAUGUGUGAUUAUACAUGUUUAGACACUUUUAAUCAGCCAAAGUAAUGGAAUUAUUGAGUUUUAGUGGGCGGAAAUUUGGUCCUUUUGUCCAGAAAAGGCAGAAGGCAUUCGGUAGCAAGCAUAUUUGAUCUAAGCAACAUGUUAGCAGCAUCUUAUAAAGUUAACUAAGAAUAAUUUUUUUUUCUUUUUUCUAGUUGAAGAAAUGAAGUUGCAUUGACAAUUUAUAGUCUAAAUUAUUUCUUACCACAGGGGUUUUGAUUCUUGACCUCGUUUACGGCACCAUAGUCUCUCCAAUCAAUACUUUGAGGCACCGCGGAGAUGUUUACGUCAUCAAAUGACACCACUGGCUCUCUCUCGAUAUUUAGUGGGAGAGAUACGCCGGUAUAUUGAGCAACAAAUUCGCUUUUUGUCAUAUCGGUAAACUGAUUGAUACCGAGAGUGUACGAAUUUCCGUUGCGACUGUUAAAGGUUUCGAUAUGCUUCACGUUGUUCUUGAAUAUCUGAAACCGGCGCAUCUUCUCGUCGUUGUCCUUGUAAACUCGGCCAUACUCCGCCAUCCAUUCUUCAAACCGCUUCAUCAUGGGAUCACUGGGUUCGUCACGAGAAGCUGCCGAUGGCGAAGCCCACAUCACACAGAGAAACAUGAAAAGAAACACGAG